GGGCCUGAUCUCGGCGGCGAUAGCGCACGCCUUCGCGCUCUUCGUGGCCGUCUCGGUCGGCGCCAACAUCUCCGGCGGGCACGUGAACCCGGCGGUGACCUUCGGCGCCUUCCUGGGCGGCAACAUCACGCUCUUCCGCGGCCUCCUCUACUGGGUCGCGCAGCUGCUGGGCUCGACCGCGGCGUGCUUCCUGCUCCGCUUCUCCACGGGCGGGCUCCCCACGGGCACCUUCGGCCUGACCGGAGUCUCCGUGUGGGAGGCGCUGGUGCUGGAGAUCGUCAUGACCUUCGGCCUCGUCUACACCGUGUACGCCACCGCCGUCGACCCCAAGAAGGGCAGCAUCGGCACCAUCGCGCCGCUCGCGAUUGGGUUCAUUGUGGGAGCCAACAUCCUUGUUGGUGGCGCGUUUGAUGGCGCUUCCAUGAACCCGGCUGUUUCCUUUGGCCCGGCGUUGGUUAGCUGGGAAUGGGGGUACCAGUGGGUGUACUGGGUUGGCCCCCUCAUCGGCGGUGGCCUUGCUGGGGUGAUUUACGAGGUGCUCUUCAUCUCCCACACCCAUGAGCAGCUCCCCACCACCGACUACUAAGCAGAUCGAUGCAAGCUGCUUCUGCUUCCGAGUUCGUUCGGCCGGCGUCAAUGCCCUCCGUUUCGUCGUCUCAUCGUUUAGUUUCGUGAACCCAUGUCCGACUGCUGCUGCUUCGCGGCCAGCGUCGUUUGCUUUGAAUUGAAUCCUUCCGUCGGUCGGUCGGUCGGUCAGUCUGUAUGUGCCCCCGUGCUGUAAAACCAUGCAUAAUCUCCGGGAACCCCGUUAAUUUGCUUAUGUGAAAACCGUGCAUCGAUCUGUCUCUUAAUGAGUUUCUUUUCCAGUGAUAUCCACCCAAUAUGUGCGUGCAUCUGUAAUGAACACCUUGAAUUCUGAAUCUCAUCAGUCAUCAGCGCGCGUGUCAGAAAGGAAGGCCCCAUCGAUCCUGUCUCAUCAGAGAUGGGGGUCUCUCAAUAAUGAACUGUCACGCAUGUGGCGACUAGACGGUACGGUACGACGCCACGUCGGAAUGGGCGCCGGGGGCGAUAAGGCUGACCUGUUCUUGUCGGAGCUCAGCCCCGUCGUGUGCUGCACGGAUCGAUCAACAGCUCCCUAGAGGGAUUGUGGAACAUUAUUGCUGCUUAAUUAAAUUUCAGCUCCUACUCCUUUCCUGCCGAAUAUACCUCUCUCCGGGUUCCUACAAAAGCAAGUGUACGUACGGUACUGGAGCCGUUGUUGGUGUCGCUGGCGCAAUCAGGGCUCGUGCUUCUUCUGCCAGCCUGACCACCACUAACUCUGGCACGGGACUGAAGACAAGCAGCAAGCUAUUUUGGAGGCCACAUCACCCUUGAUAGUUUUAUCGUCUUCUUCGAUAUGUUUUCUCUCCCACGGAAGUCCUAACUACCGGUCGAUGUGUCCUUACCGAAAGGGAGUGCGCAUUAAUAAUCAUCAUUAGCUUAAACUGCUCAAGAGAAUUAAGGGCUGUGAUGUAUGACAUGUGGCUAGCUAGCUUAAUAUUCUAGUCAACCGAUCUGUCUUUUGCGUUUAUGCGGCAUUGUGCCAUUGAGUUUAGCUAGCUCAAAUGCAACUUGGCGCGCACUAUGUGUGCCAGCACAUGCAAGUACUAUACAUAUCAACGAUUUUAUUAAGUUAAGUAAAACAUGUUGAACAUGUCAAUUUAUUUGCCACACUUUUUCCCUUUGCAUGGUGAUGCGGUGCCUGUAAUUCAGGGUUUAGCUAGGCAUUCAAACAGAGCGUCAGUCUGAACUGGAAUUGCCAAUUCGUCGGAAUCUUCGGCAGAAUAAUGAUUUUGUCAGCGUUUACGCUAGCCUCCUGACCAAUUAAAACCCAAAGGCGGCUCUCUCAUCUUUGGAUAUACCAAGUUCCAGGACCACACCAAUCAUCGCUAGCUUAUGUAACUUAGCAUUAUCCUGUCAGCUCAUCUGACUUGAUUAUGACACCAGAACUGUCUUUAGUGCUAGUUAAAUAGCUAUAGCUAAUUAAUCGAGUUGUCAUUAAGAACAGAUUUUCUAUACAUAUAUAUGCUGUUCUGUUCAACCUUCAUAAUCAGUCCUGUUCCUAAUCACCACUUAAUCAAAUACUGUUUGUGCAUACGUCCCUUUUCAGCUGCACCGGCCAGAGAUCAGCACGUCACAAAGUGUCGCUAUUCCAGCAAUGAAUACUGACGAGGGCCGGGAGGAAGAGGGUGGGGAGGUUAAGAAGAGAGAUGCGGGAGUGAUGUCCGGAAACCCCUGAGACCCGUUGGGGCGCUCCAAUGGGCGAUUCUGGGCCAUCUCGCCGGAAAGUGACUGUGAGAGUGAUGGGGAGUCGUCGGAAAGUGACUCAUCAUCGAUUGCUUCUGGAUCUACGUCGUGGGAACAUUGUCUCACGCCGGAAUCAGCCAGAUCCAUCGCUUUGAAGGAAAAGAGUUCUGAUCUUUCUAGGCGGGAAGCGAAGAGGAGGAGGAAGCGGUUCCAGAUGCAGACGCGGAUGCAGGUGAGGUCUGAGAUUGAUCUCAAUUCUCUUAUUUGCAGUAAAUCAACGUCUGGAUCCGGAGCUUCGCCAGCGCGUGCGUCUGUAAAGCCGCGGGAGGCGGUCCUGUCACCUUCUUCUUUCUUGUUGGAGAACUUCAAUGCGGAGGAGUGGGUUCUUGUAAGGCGGCGGCGGCGGCGUGCAUCCAUCUCGGCGGCAUCUUCCACGUCGAAGGUAAAUUUCUCUCGUCGUUGCAACGAUCCCCGUCAGUCGAUGAUGAGUUUGAAUCUCAAAUCGUACGGUCAAGUGGGCCCCGCAACUUCUGCGUUGCAUGCGAGCCCAGUUACGAUUCUGCAGGGCCAUACGGGCCCGGGAUCCGUAGCCCAAUCCAGGUCGAAUCGGAUUGAUUCGGCUGGCCGAUCCCUGCGUUGCCUGUUAGGUUACGGGUGGCGUACGGAUCAAUCUCGUGCUCCGAUAAUUCCGUCUCUUGUUGCUUCCGGAACCAUGGCGAACCUUGGUGGAGGUAGGGGAGGCGGCUUUGAUCCUGGUGUUGUUGGUGAUGGCCACGGCUAUCCUGCUCAGGCGCAUGGAUCUGGCGGUGGUGCGGGCCGCGGUGGCGCUCCUCCUCAGGCGCAUGGAUAUGGCGGUGGUGCUCCUGCUAUGGCGUUUGGCCGAGGUCAGGGACAGGGUUCUGGUGCUGCGCCUGAUCGGGGUUCUGGUUAUGGCAGUGGCGGCGAGGCUCAUGGCGGUGGCUAUGGCGACUUCCACCCUGGUCGUUGGGCUGCUGGUCACUAUGGUGGUGGUGGUCGGUAUGGCGGCGGUGGAUAUCGUCGGCGGUAUGAGUUCCGGGCGGGUCGUGGAGACUACCGUGGUGGUCGAGGGGCUUACAAUGGUAAUGCUCGUGGUUGUGGUGCUUACGCAGGUGGUGGUCGUGGCUCAGGUGGCCGAAACAUCCCCUAUUCUUAUUCGGCAGACGAGUCGUCAGCACGUGGUGGUGCUGCUGGAGGCGCCCAAAUGUCUGCUACGUCGGUUGCGACGGUUGUUGCUAGUGCAGGAGGGCAUCCGCAUCUGGCGGAGCCUCAGGCGGCGCAGGAGAUGCCCGUGGUUCAGGCUCAAGUGACGGCUGCUCUGCCAGCAGCUUCAGCAGGUCUGGAUGCUGCUGAUGUUCCCUCUGCCGUGGUGCAACAGCGAGCUCAAGAGAAAGCACCUGAUUUUAUCCCGUUGGAGCCGGUCAUUGUGAAUGUGGCUGGCAGUUCAUCAGGGUCAAACAAUGCGGCUGCUGUUGCUACUAAAACUGGGAAGAGAAAAGAUAAGGUAAAAUGUUUCCGAUGUGGGUUCACAGGCCACAUUUCUUUUGAUUGUACUACGGUGUUGUGCGAUUAUUGUGAAUCCGCGGAGCAUGUGUCUUCUGUGUACCCUCUUUUACUUGCUCCAAAACCACAAGUGGUGAUGCAUGGGGUAUGCUGAUGAGGAGCUUAUGUUCUUUGACAUGCCACUCACAGGUUCGUAUCGGCCUAAGUAUGAGAACACUCGUUUGGGCAUGGUGACGGUGGAGGGGGGCAGUUUGUCUGUUUCUCAGCUUGUUUCACUGCUCCGGUUGUUUGUCCCGUCUGAUAAUUUUGAGUGGGAGGUGAGUUCGUCCGAGGAUAAUGUUUUCAAGGUGCAAUUUCCUUCCAAGCUUGAGUUGCAGCAGAUGAUCAGAUUUGGCAAAUUUAAUGUUCCUACGAGUGAAUGUAGGAUCACUUUUGAUGAGUGGUCUCCUAAGCUGAAUCCUAAUUGGCUUGUUCAAGAUGUGUGGGUGCGAAUCGCUGGUAUUCCCCCAGCUGUGAAGGGGUCCUUCUUAGCUCUCUGGGGACUGGGUUCACCGCUUGGUAAGACCAAGGAGGUUGACAUGGCAUUUACAUGUCAGCACGGGGUAUUGCGUAUUUUCAUUGGGUGGGUUGAUUAUACAUGUAUACCAGAGCGAAAGGAUCUGCUCAUCAAGGAUGGCCUCUACAGGCUUACUUUCCAGGUGGAAGGACCACCAAGGGAGGAGGGGCUUGGUGAUGAAGUUAUGCAUGAUGCUAAUGAGGGUGACGAUGAGGGGGAUAAGAAAAAGGAUGCUUCAGAGAAGUCCGAUCUGGAUGAUCGUGGUGGUAAGCGUGGCAAAAAUGUGGAUGGCGACACCUCUACUUCUUCGUCGGUUGGAGGGAGUGGUGGUGCAGCGGCACCCACUUCUUCUUCUCCGACCGAUGGGUCCAAUGUGGUGAUGAUUCGUAUUGGCUCUGUGGAGACACCGGUUCCUAUGUCCAGGGUCCCGCUUGUAUCUGUUUCAGCUCCGAUGUCUUAUAGUAAGAUUGCAGCUCCUCGUCGUCUGUGGGCUGACCUUGUGGAGGAGGAAUUGCCGUGUUUUGGGUCUGCUCCGCCUCGUGUUGACAGGUCGAGAUACGAAGGUGGACGGCCUAUGGGCAGCGUGGUGUCAAGGUCGAUCGUCGCUGCGCCUUCUCAUGUGGAUUCUGUGGCCGGUGAUAUGGUUGCGCCUGCUAGGCAUAGUGCUACCAUGAAGCAGCUUUGCUCUGUGGUUGCUUCCGAUGUGCGAUCCGGGCACGAGCAGGGGGCGCUGCUCCCUACUAGUGAGGUGGAGCCCCAAGAAGGGCAGCGUGAUGUGGAGUAGGUGGCUUCACCGCCGUCUGACCUUUCUCCGUCCCCAUGGCAGGUGGCUGGGGGGUCACGAAAUCGCUCGUUGCCGUCGUCGUUGCAGACCGCUUCUUCGACCCGUGUGCCAGGAGGGCGUGCGGGGGCGAAGAGCUCGUCGGCGCGGACCUCUUCUUCGACCCGUGUGCCAGGAAGGGGUGUGGGGGCGGAGAGCUCGUCGGCGCGGACCUCUAAUAUGCCGAUGAUACUAUUAUUUUCAUGGAGCACGACUUAGAGAAAGCCGUUAAUAUGAAACUAAUUCUCUGUAUUUUUGAACAACUUUCGGGACUGAAGAUUAAUUUUCAUAAAAGUGAGCUCUUUUGUUUUGGUCAAGCGAAAGAUGAAGAACAUCAGUAUAAGCGUCUCUUUGGAUGCGAGUCUGGGUCUUUGCCUUUUAAAUACUUGGGUAUCCCUAUUCAUUAUAGAAAACUUCUUAACAAAGAAUGGAAGGCUGUUGAGGACCGCUUUGAAAAAAAAUUGGGAUGUUGGCAAGCCAAGUUACUCUCAUAUGGAGAUCGCUUUGUGCUUAUUAACUCUGUUCUCACAAGUAUGCCAAUGUUUAUGUUGUCCUUCCUUGAAAUACCUAAAGGGGUACGGAAGCGUCUUGAUUUUUAUAGAUCCAGAUUUUUUUGGCAAAGUGAUGAGCAUAAACGAAAAUAUCGUUUAACAAAGUGGAAUAUUAUUUGUCAUCCUAAAUAACAAGGGGGGUUGGGGAUUGAGCUUUUGGAUACUAAAAAUGUGUGUUUACUCAGCAAAUGGCUGUUUAAGCUUCUUAAUGAGCAGGGUAUGUGGCAAGAGUUGCUACAUAAUAAAUAUCUUCAUUCUAAAGCUCUUUCUCAAGUUCAGGCUAUGGCCACAGACUCCCCAUUCUGGAAAGGACUUAUGUGAGUUAAGACGGCCUUUUUUAAUCGAGGUUCUUUUAUUGUUGGGAAUGGAAUGAGCACUCGGUUUUGGGAAGAUACUUGGCUAGGUGAUACACCUCUUGCCCAUCAAUAUCCAUCAUUAUAUAAUAUUGUGCAACGAAAAAGUGUUUUGGUUGCGACUGUUCUGUCAUCUGUUCCUCUGAAUAUUGGCUUUAGACGUACACUGACAGGGAAUAAAUGGACAUCUUGGUUACAUUUAGUCCACCGUUUAAUAAUGGUUCGCUUUUCUGCUGAUUCAGAUUCUUUUUCCUGGAAACUUAAUUCAACUGGAGUAUUCACGGUUAAGUCUAUGUACAGAGAGUUGAUGGAUGGGCAUACUGUUUUUCCUCAAAAUUAUUUAUGGAAGAUUAAAAUACCUUUGAAAAUCAAGAUUUUUAUGUGGUUUCUUUAUAGAAAAGUGCCGCUGACAAAAGACAAUCUUACUAAGCGUAAUUGGAUGUGUGUAAACAAUGUUGUUUUUGCGGAUUAGAAGAGACUAUCCAUCACUUGUUUAUAACAUGUCCAUAUGCUCGUCUUGUGUGGCGAAUUGUUCAUAUAUCUUUUAAUUUGUCACUCCCAACCAAUGUCACAGAUAUGUUUGGGAAUUGGUUGAACGGUGUUGAUAAAAAACUAAAGCUCAAAUUCGGGUGGGAGUUUCUGUCUUUUGUUGGGCUAUUUGGAACUGCCGAAAUGAUAUUGUUUUUAACAAGACUAGAGUGGUUAUUUUUUUUCAGGUAAUCUACAGAGCCACUCACUGGAUCCGUUUGUGGUCUUAUCUACUCCCUGUGGACCAACGGGAGCUUUUGGAUACUGGGUGCAACCGUCUGGAGAUGGUUACUCGGGAUAUCUUCAGCCGGGGUGGAUGGCGGUCCACUGGUAGAAUUCUAACUACAUGAUGUAUAGGCAUUAUUUGUAUCUUUUAUUUCGCUGGCUGAUUUUUGUGUCAACCUUGUGUGAUGCAUAAACUGUAUUUUUAGUUGUGUGUAUCGAUUGAUGCAGAAGCCGGGUCUUUUCCCCCUUUUCGAAAAAAAAAAUUGAAUCUCUCUCGAUGUCGCCAGUGAUCCCGUGACGUGGAACCGAGAUUAUCCCCGCCCGAGGGCCGUCCUCUCGAGGAGAGCUUUCAGUUGACGGUACGAAAGAUGGAGAUCGCAACCGAACCGAAGGCGGAGAAGGCCCGGCCACUGAAUCUCUCCAAUGCCACUGGAUAAGUUGAUAACGCUUCACGACUGCCGCGGAAUUCACAAGAGCGCACGUGUUUCGACGAAGCGUUCUCUCAAGCACUCGACUAUAUACAGUUUUGGAAGAAUUCCAGCGACCAAUUCUGUCACGCAUCAAGGGGAAACCAGAUUGAGUUUACAGAAAAAUAAGUAAAGGAAAUGGACACAGAUUUAGUUGUCGAAGAAAAUAUUGACGGCAUGACACAGCUCACGAAGACUUAGUUAGGCUGAUUUAGUUUGUCAGAUAAGCGAAGUAAUUGAGCAGUCACAUCCGCAUCGGUUGAGCUGAUUCGGCGGUGAUUUUGGCCGGUUCUCGUGACUGUAACUGUUAGUUCCUUGUAUACCUUCGUAUAUAUUCCAUGGCGGAACAAUAGUUGCUAUCAGAUCGACCGAUCGACCGGGCCAACAUAGACGAAUUAUACGCUCGAUCGCGACCUCGCGUGCCUUUCAAAACAUAACACUAGUACUCCUACAUAAUAGUAACCCCUAAUAAAGUGGCCCAGUGUAAAUAGCCAUCCUUUGUCUGUGUCUCGAAAAGAACUCUUGUCAUGUGAUCACAUAUGUAUACACAACGGCAUGGCUGUGAGCCAGAGCCCACAGGCAGGCACGUGCCGUUCCCGAUUAUCGCUUCCCUGAAACAAGUUCACCUUGCAACGAAGUUGAUUUACAGGUUGCAUGCGUUGAGUGAGUCCAUGCUGAAGCUGUGUCAUCGGAUACCGUCGUCCACGAUGUCGAUCGUGCAGCGAAAGGAUGGGGCCUUGGGGGCUUGCUCCGCUGGCUGGAUCAGCAGUGAGUGACUGAGUGGACCGGAUCCCGAGCAUGGGCCCAUUUCAUGCAUCUGAGUGCGGAAACGGGGGACAAACUCACGGACCAGGCCGCGUGGCCCGUGGGCACCACCGCUGUCUCUCCCUGCCCUGCCCGAUUAGAUCAAUCAGCGUGGCCCGCCAAACAAAAAUGCCGUCGUGAAUUCGCUGCCUACCCCGGAAUUUCUGAUCUUUUUUGCCAUCGCGCAAUGCACAUGCAUGAAUGUAUCCAAACCUUUUCCCUUUUUCGGCGAAGAAGUAUCCAAACCUUUCCACGUGCUUCCGUUCUUCGAAUGGGAUAGCCUGCUGGCCCAAACCUGCUAACUUCGUUUCUUGGCCAAAUAUGGCACUCAUCGUUCCCUCUCGGGCGGGCAAUGCAGCAUUGCAGCCAUGGUUUCAUGGACGGUCGUACGUAACUAAGAUCAAAAAACAUAUGCGUGGUAGACAAGUUCAGGAUCUCAUGUGAAAUGAUUAAGUAGCGUGUGCGACCCCUGAUUUCUUCAACGAACAAUUUUAUGCCGUGUUAAACUUCGGUCGUGCAUGGGCUCGGUGCGAAGUGGAGAACACAUAUAUUGUUCUGUUGCUGCCUUUCUAUGAGUCCUGAUGAUUGAUCCGUCAAAGCGAGCGACUCAGGAUCGUCCUAUUACCGUGUCCUUCCAUGCAUGGAAAAGGAAAAGACACUAGCAGCCUGCACGCAUCACGUGCAUCCUCCCCCUGGGAACCCAUCAAGGUCCUUUGUCUCGUCCUUGUUCUCUGCUCACAAGCUGGUUACCGCGCGCACAAACGAAAGUCGAGGUGCUUCACCCUCCACGGGCAAGUACAUGAACACGUAUACACUUUAACAGGCUAGCUUUGACAAGAGAGGGAUUUCUAAUCCUCUAUCACUCGCGGGCUAUUUACUCGUCGAUCAACUGGGCAUGCGUUAGUUCGACACUUCGACUGAAGCACCAUGAGCAUGGUGGCGGAGAGCAAUGCAUUGGAUCAUUUCGAGCUUUAUCGAGGAGUUCAUGUACCGACAUAGCUAGGUGACGGUUCAGAGACAGGCUUUACCCAAACGGCAUGAUGACGUACUGAAUGAACAACACGUUUAGCAUGGUGCAUAUACUGUAAAAAGAAAAGAAACAACUUUAUUACGCGUAACAAAUAGGUUACACACUUUCAAUAAUCUUCAGGACACAUGUAUAUGUAGUUGCACGGAGUUAGCAUUAUUUCCGAUCAUAUAUAGAUACAAAUAUACGAUCACGUUACAUUGUUUAAUUAAGUAGUUGAUCACACGGAGUACAUCAGUUAGUGCUCUUCUCGAUCGAUGACUUGGAGCUUGACGCCAUGCUUGAAGUUGUUCACGAUGGAGAACUCGAGCUGCAGGGGAAACUCCAUGCCGGGGGAGUGCCUGAAGACGUAGCGGCGGUACAGGUGGAUAACCACGAGCUUGAGCUGCUGCAUGGCGAACUUCUGCCCGGGGCAACCCCGAGGGCCGAUGCCGAAGGGGAGGAACGCGUAGGGGUGCCUUCGCUUGCAUUCCUCGUCCUCCGGGUCGAACCGCUCGGGACGGAACGUGUACGGGUCGGGGAAAUGCUUCGGGUCUUUCGAUAGCUGCCCCGUCGCUAGCCACACCCACGUUCCCUGCGUGCGUGCAGGCACCAUUUUUGACUCGGUAAACUCAUAAAAAUGAAAAUUGAUGUGGCCGUACAUAUUCCAUUUUAGCCUUGACCACAUAAGGCAGCAGAUUGGCACGAACCUUUGGCAGGAGAUAGCCUCCGAUCUCGACGUCCUCGGUCGUUUCCCUCGAAACCAGCGGGGACGAAGAAUAGAACCUCAUCGUCUCCUUCAAAACCUAUUGGGGCAAAAGUUGUACAUGGAUGUUAACACAGGUUAUGAUCGAUACGUUUAAUCUUUUUUUUUAGGGAAUCGAUACGUUUAAUCUGAAGAUCGUGCAAACGACCGAGACGAACCUGCUCCAAGUAGGUGAACUUGGUGUUGAGUUCCUCGGCGUCAGGCACGAGGUCCUUGGGCCCAAACGCGUCGAUCUCACUUAGCAUCUUCUCCUCCACCUCCGGGUGCAUGGCGACCCGGUACGCGAGUCCCGAGAGCGUGAAGGACAUGGACCCGGACCCGGCGAGCAAGUGCUCGUAGGUGAGCGCGGAGACGUAGUCGGCCGUGAAGAGCUCCCUCAUGGCGUGGCUGCUCUCCCGGGCCUUGAGCAGCACGGACAGGAAGUUCUUCUUCUCCCCCUCGCUCUGGGCCUCCAUGGCGGCCCGCUCCGCCACGAUGGCGUCCACGAGCCCGCUAAGGGCCCGGUUGGUCUCGUCCAUCAGGCGGUCCGCCGAGCCCGGCACCCGCAGCAGCAGCUGCCGGGCCGGCUCCUGCAGCAGCGGCGCCACGGUUCCCAGCACCAUGGAGAGCGACCCAUUGAGGUCCGCCUUGAGCGACGUCAGCGCGUACAGGUGCUUCUCGAUGAAGUCGUCCGUGGCUGUUUUUUCGUUGUUGAUGGUGCUGUCGACAUUGUUGGCGUCGUCGGGUUUGGUGAGCCCGAAGUCGACGCCGAACGCGGCUUGCCCGAUGGUGUCGGAGAAGAGCUUGACGGCGAGGUCGGAGAAGGCGACCUCUUGGCCGGGGUGGAGGAGACGGGCGGCGCGGCGGAUGUAGGGAUGGACGGCCGGGAUGAGGCUUGCAAGGUGAGAUGGCUGGUAGAUGGCGAUGAUCACGUUCCGCAUCGACUGCCACCUCGAGCCCCUGCAAUUAAUUUGGUUUGCAUGCGUUUAAAACUAGCUCUAGCUAGCUCUAGCAGCUUAAUUAUGUCCAAGACGCGAUCUCCAUUGUAAGUUGGACGUACUUGGUGAAGAGGAGACUUUUGAAGUGGAUGGGCGAGCUACGGAUGGUGCUGGGCACGCUCCUGUCGACGACGCUCUUGAACUUCUUGAUGCCGGCCUCCCUGCACAGCUCUGCGUCCGCGAUCACCACCACCGGCUGUCGACCCAGGUAAAACCUGGACAGAACACACCGACCGCCAGCGUAUUAAGUGCAGAUCGAAAGCCUUAAACUACAACUGAUACAGGUUUGAUAUAUCUAAGUCGUUUAAUUUUUAGUUAGGACAAGUUGAUCUGUGAGAUGAAAAAUCAAGUAUAUACGUAGGAUAUAGCCACCCAAUUGAAAUUGAUCGGCCGGUGUGUGGAGUUACUAAUUAACAACUGACCUGUAGAUGGGCCCGUAUCUCCUUGCGAGGACGCCAAAGACCUCGGGGCCAUGCUUGGUGAAGAGCGGCAGGUGGCCGAUGAGCCCGUAGGCGAGAGGCCCGGGCACCCUGCGCAGGCGCCACGACGGCGCGUAGAAAUACACGGCGAAUGCGCCGGCCGCCAGUGCCGCCACGGUGAACAGAAUCGCUGCCAAUGGCGACUCCAUCUGACGGCUCCAGAGUACUCCCGCUCCGUCCAUCGUACGUCUGUCUUGCCGAGCUUAGCGAUCGAUGGGGAAGAGUCACCACUUAUAUACACAUGUUUUGCAUGGGUUGUCGUGUCGACGGAGACCAAGCUGUACGUAUACGGGGUAGGUAGGAGUAGUACGUACGUACGUACAAGAAAGAAAAAUAGAAUGGGUGUGGGACCCAAUACCUGUAGCUGCUGCUCACACGUGACUGGAAUAUGGGUAGUUCAAAAGUAUGGUUAUUGUGUUUUUUUUUGCGGUGAAAAGUGUGGUUAUUGUUGAUGAGACGAUGGAUGUAAAUGUAAUCUAAGACCGCAGGAGAGUAUAUAUGAUUGACCGGUCCUGGAUGACUCCAUGGCGUUGAGCCGUUGAAUAUGACUAGUGCACGUUAUUAUCGUGUUGUACGUAUGGUUUUGCACGUUGAGAAAACUGGCCAAUUUCGUGAGAUCCAAAUCCGAUCCACACGGUAAAGAGAAAAAGAAAAGAUCGAUAGUUCCACUCCUGAUUAAUUUACUGUCCAAACAACCACGAGGGGCUGCAUGCAUGACCGAAUCAAAGUAAAUUACCCACCACGUGGGUCGAUUGAUCAUCAUCGGACGUCUUUUGCACUGGAUCAGACAAAAUCAAGGAACGUUCCUUGUUAUUCUACAUGCAUGCGACCCGUACGUCCUCGAUCGCAUUCUGACUGGCGACUCCACCAAACCAUUUCUACGUUGCACGUAUACACCACGAUAUAUUCAAACGCACAGCUGGCUAAAAUCAAAGAACAUCGGCCAGUAGUUACUUCUUCUUUGGGGAAGUGCAACGAAGAAUUAAGAUCGACCAUUUGCAAGUUGCGUGCGUCCUGUACGACUCUAGCUAUCAAGGUCCCAUUGGAUACACAUACACUGUCUCGCGGAAGUCUCCUUCCGUGCGAAUUGAAAUGGCAGUGUUGGGGGCUGCACUGCACGCGUCAGAGCUUCACGCAACCCGGGCCACACGAGGCCGAUAUUCCUGACGUGCGUAGCCUCCCUAUUUCUUUCUACGUGCACACGGAGGCUAGACAAUUUUUCUCAAAAUAUUUGCAUAUCUGGAUCCACAAUUAGCAUAAUAAAUUAUUGUAUAAUUAACCAUGUAUAUUUUUUUUCUAGGAAAAAGACUUCAGUUUUGUCAUCCUACCAGGCGCCACCGUUUUUUUUUCUAUGGGUGUGGUUAUAUCUUAGUCGACUGAUUUUUAAUCAAAUGGCUUAAAUCUCGGUCGACGUAUCAUACCCGUUGGAUUACUAUAUAGAUAUCGUUUCACUCUCCAUUUUUCAUCAUUCGUCCCGAAUCUUAAAGCACAUACCAUAUUCAAUGGCUGAGAAAUCGAUAUCUCUAACUAAUAAUUAGUCGACUUAGAUAUAGCAAACCCGUUUUUCUAUAUCAUGUCCCCGUGAAAACAGAGAUGAGUUUUUAGCUCUAACUAGUCAACUCUCUUCUUCUUAAUAGGAUCGAGGCACUUGGACUUCAGUCAAAAUAAGGAAAAAUCCAAUGAAAUUAAAUGGGGACAUGUGAACCAAGCAAAUAUUAAUGAACAUUGAUGAUUGACCUAUAACCAUAGUAAGCAUACAUGUAUCAAAAUGGCCAUUCUUUGGAUAUAAUUAAUUAAAGGUUGAGUACUUAAAGUUUUCCUUUAAAAAACCAUGGCUCUACGCUCUAUAUAUUGUCUUCCCAAACAACAUACUGCUAGCAAGGAAUCAUACAAUUCUAAGUUAGGUUGAAGGAACUCAUUUCCUUGUGCCAAUGGGUCGUGGUUAUGUUGUCAUAUCAAUGUUACUUUGCUUUUUAUUCGCAUCUUGGUACCUCACUUUGGCUGAAUCAACGGAUUCAGGUGGUAAUCUGCAGAUGAAUGACAAGGUAAAAAAUCCACACAUGGAACUCUUUCUCACUUGUUUUUCUUUUAAUUCACUAGAUUCUCGUAUUUCACAUGUAUGUUACUAUACAUACAUGAAGCUUACAUAUGCCACAACAAUUAUUUUCUUUCGUAGAAAGCUACUAUUUUGGUACCAACCGGAGGUGCCAAAAAUCAGGAUGGAGAAAGAAAGAACAUUACUCUUUCAACAACCAAACCUAUCUGGUUCCCACGAAGAGCCAACAUUCUGGAUGAAGACAACACCAUUUCUCAUGUACUCUCUCUCUCUCUCUCUCUAAAUUUGGAUGCAAUUAUGUUUGCCCACUGCAAUUAAUUUCUCUGUUUGGUCCCUAAUUUGAUUUAUGUCUUGUUGUCACUAGUAUGCAAUGUGGCGCACAACAACAGGAAAACGUUAUGGUUUUCGAGCUGAAAUGAGUAUAUGGGGUUCACCAAAUCAACACUACUCUCAAGACUCCGGAUCAGCAAUACAAAUGUAUUGUGCAGAAGGAGAUCGCUACCGCUUAAUCGAAGCCGGAUUUCACGUACAAAUAGAUCAUCCAUGCAUUAUUUUGAUAAGCUCAAAUACUUUCAAAAAACGGUUAUCUUAAAUUUUGGCCUGGCCGGUUUGCAGGUUGCUCCCGCUUUGUACCAUAAUAGAGAUGUCCGCUUCUUUACAUAUUGGACGGUAAGUUUAAACUUUAAGUUAGUUUUCCUCCCGCAGUUUUCUAGUUUUUUUUACUAUUUAUCAGAUUAACUUUUGUCAUUGUUUCCCACAGUAAUACAUGUUAUUUUUUUAUCAUUGAUCAGAAGGACACCAAAUCAGCGGGUUGCUACAACUUGAAUUGCCCCGGAUUUGUUCCUGCGCCUGGAGCUGCACUGGUGCCUGGUCAAGCCAUUGCUCCUACGUCAACUUAUGAUGUACAAGACCGCUAUGUCAGGCUUAGCAUAAAUGAGGUAUCCUUUUAUCCUGACAGAGACACAUAUAUAUUUACCAAAUAUUGCAUUUGAAGAUACAUGGCUAAUGACAUGUUGCUAAUUUUUUAUAUGGAAAACCAUUAGAGCAUAUCCACUUUUAUUUAUUAGAUUUUUUAGUACUUCAAAUUGAAACAUUCAUGCGGAUAUAUGUAAGAAUCUGGCUUGACUAAAUGAAUAACCAUGGGAAGCUCUUGUUCAAAAUCCACGAUGAUUUGUAUACAGAUUCAGCUAGAUUUUCUUGAUUUUUUUUAACAUAUGUUCCAAAUGCUCCAGGUAGACAAAACAAUGCUAAUUAAUUAUUGGAUGACUGAAUUCAACAAACAAGGAACAAACCUGGUUAUUUGUCAAGUUACUUAAUUAGAUGGAAGCUGAAUUAAUACAUUAUGUCAUGCUUAAGUACCAUGAAAUCAAAGAUAAGAAUCUAAAAUUGUUUUCACUAAAUAUUUUAAGCAAACUAUCUAGUUUAUUUAUUUUUCUUUCUUCAUGAAAAUUAAAAUUUAUAACCAUCACCCCUUGUCGAUUGUGUACAGGAUCCAAAAUCAGGAGAUUUGGUGUUGUACCGGCAUGACUUAGAGAGACCCUCGUUCUUGGGGCAUUUCCCACGUGAGCUUUGCCCUGGAACGUCACGAAUACAAGCAUUGACUGGAUUCGUGAAUUACCUACUGACUAUAAAGGGUCCUCCAAUGGGCAGCGGCCAUUUCCCCAGUAGAAAUCCUAAGAGAUCUGGAUACUUCAAGCAUAUCAAGAUUUAUGACUCCAAAGGUCGCGCUUGGGACCCACAUACAACCCCGAUUAAGAAAGUAGCUGACAAGUGGGACUGCUAUAACCAAACCAGUCUUUUUCUUCAGCGUGACAUGGGCUACGCGUUUUUCUACGGUGGGCCAAGUGGCUGUGUUAGUUGACAAUACAUGUUCUGUUUGCUUCAUGUGAUUCAAUAAAGCAUCAAUUAUAUAUGUUCCUUUUGAUGGACAUGCAGCCAUGUUUGUUUGUUUUCUUGCCAGGCUGCAUUUAGCAUAUGAUGGAUUGUCGCAAUUUCAUCUCAAGGUUUUAUAUCACUGGGAUUUCGAUAAAAAACUCAUUUGCUGGUCAAUCUGAAAAGGGACUCGCUUGGGCUCAGUCGACUGAGAACGAGUAGUUCUCAGUCGAUGGUAGUACUAGCUAGCAAUUGAUUGAUUUUUUAUAGCUAUUUCUACCCGAUUUUACUCACCCCGCUGGCUGCUUUUUUUUUUUUUUUAGUUUGUGUGUUCUCCUGACUUUGUAGGCUUGCUGGGACAUAGCCAAUACUAUAAAAUUCUCAUGCAACUAAAAUAAUCAUAAAACCAUUGUGCAAUUUAAAAACUGCAAUUUAAAUUUCUUGCAAAAGAGAAAAUUUAUAGCAGGAAAAAUUACAGACAAUUCUAAAAUUUGCACGUGAAAUUUUAUGCGAUAUUCUAAUUGCACGUGAAAUUUUCUGCACGAUUCUAAAAAUUGCACGUGAAGUUUUAUAAGCGAUUCUAAUUGCACUUGAAAUUUUGUGCACGAUUCUAAAAAUUGCACGUGAAAUUUUAUACGGAUUCUAAUUUCACGUGAAAUUUUGUGCACGAGUUUAAAAAUUGCAUGUGAAAUUUUGGGUGCAAUUCUAAAAUUGCACGUGAAAUUUUGUGCGCUAUUCUAAUAAAUUGAAGAAAGGAAAAACCGAAGAAUUAAAAUCUUACAUAAAUCUGCCAAGAUGAAGAUUUGAACCUUUCAUCUCUGUCUGGAAAACAAAAACACAUUAUCAGUGCAACAACAUGACUUUGUUGUCUAUAGAGGGACGCGGCCUUAUUUAUUCAAAAAAACUCUGCGCUGUCUUCCUGCACCACGAAUCUUUGAUGCCUGAUCCAACGUCUCACAAGCAUCGACUGAGAAAAGCUAAUUGUCAGGCGACUGCUCCCUAGCCAAUUCGAUCUGAAAAAUGGUAAAUCUUGAAAAGAUAACCAUCGUAUGACCAGUGGCAGAGCUAGGAAAGAAAUUAUUUAAGGAGGGGCCAGUCUUGAUUACCAGACAAUUUAGGUUGUAGUUUUGAUGCAUAAUUAGGAAAAACUAAAGUAUUCACAUGGUGCUAUUAAUCAAGAUGAUUACAAGAUUAAGGGUGGGCACAACCCUCUACUGUUAGCGCCAAGGAUCCAAGCCUGGGUGUCCGGGAAGAACUCCACCCAGGGCAGCUGCGUGACGGCGCAGUCGCCGAUGACCCCAACGGGGUACGUGAGGAGCUCGCACUCCGGUGCGUCGCCGCCGGCCUGUGCGCCUCUGCUCCUGUCGUGCGCCUACGCGCGCCGCUGCUGCCCCCGCCACGUGCCACCGCGGUUCCGUGACUUCCGUCCUCGACUCCGGCCAGUGCUUGGAAGGUUCUAUGAUGGCUCUAUGGGGUGACUUAAUGGUUUUCGCUUAGUUCUCUGCUAAAUAUUUGGAUAACUCUUGGAGGGGACUACACAGCGACGUGCCCGCCCACCGAUCUUUACCGUACGGCGGCCCCCUCCACGGUCAUGCGCUGCACGGGACCUGCUCGCCCACGGUGUGCAGCCAGGCCGGCCCAGCAGCGCGUUGGCCCAGCUACCCAUCCGCAGUGUGUUGGUCCAGUAGCACCUUGGCACAGCAUCAUUAGCUGAUCGCAGGAACGCAACGCAUCAUAGCUUAGCCUCAGAAGCACGUUAUUGGCUUGGCCUUCAGUCAAGCUCACUUUGGUUCUCUUCUUCUAAAAAUAGACAUAUUUUCAUCAUAUUAGAAAAAAGGAAAAAAAUGCUAUAGACGGCGUGCGCACCACAACCUGCUCGUAAGUCGCCGUGCAUUCGGCACGUUCUGGCCAACUCGCACUCUGUUGUCUUUAAGUGACUAGCUGGCGACGUUUGCAGCCUUGCGCUAACAUGCGGCGUCCACGUUAGGUGAACUAUAUAUACUUCUAUCAUCUGAGGAUAACAUCUUUUACUUGUUGAAACACUUCACUAUAUCACUUGUUUACAACCAGGUAAUAUAAUAGUCACUCGUUUACCAGGUUAACUCAUUUAUCAGUUUAAUAUUCUUUGUUUAUUAGAUUAUAGUCACCCGUUUACCAGAUUAACGAUCCUUGUUUAUCAGGUAUAGUCACCCGUUUAUCACGUUAAUAUUGCUUGUUUUUCAAGUUAUAAUCAAUCGUUUAUCAGGAUAAUAUCGCGUGUUUACCAUGUUAUAAUCACUCAUUUACCACGUUAAUAUUGCUUAUUUACCAGGUUAUAGUCACUCGUUUACUAGGAUAGUAUCGCGUGUUUACCACGCUAUAGUCACUCCUUUACCAGGUUAGUAUAUCGCUUGUUUACCAGGUUAUAAUCACACGUUUACCAGGAUAGUAUCGCAUGUUUACCACGUUAUAGUCACUCCUUUACCAUGUUAUUAUCGCUUGUUUAACAGGUUAUAGUCACUCGUUUACCAGGAUAGUAUCGCGUGUUUACCACGUUAUAGUCACUCCUUUACCAGGUUAAUAUCGCUUGUUUUACCAGGUUAUAGUCACUCGUUUAUCAGGUUAAUAUCGCUUGUUUACCAGGUUAUAGUCACUGAUUUACCAGGUUAAUAUAGCUUGUUUACCAACUUGAUUACACAUUUUCACGAGCCGCCGUCAUGAAGGCAAAAGAGAAGAAGCGAGCGGUGGGAAACAAGGAGAAGAUAUUCGUCUUCGUGUCCGGAGAUCUCAUCCACUUCCGUGUCUCCAUCGAGGUCGACAUCCAUCUCCUCUGAGUCAGGACCUGCUUCGUUCCGGACUGAAAAUCGAGUUCUGACAGUUUUGCGGGAUCUGUUCUGCCCACAGCCUGCAAAACCGAAAAUACGACCACCAAAAACAGAAAUCGACACUUCGUCAGUUCACAGUUCGAAAGUUUGACGGUUCACAAAAAAUUUGUGCAUAUCAUAACGCAUCACAUGAAAGUUCAAAUAAACCAAUCCAACGUUGUUGACUUCCGGUGGAGCAGAGGUAGCAUCGGCGGUGGCGGCAGCGCUCUCGGCAGCGGCGGAGGCUGCGGCUUCGGUAGCGGCGGCAACAGCGACCGCGGCAUCUCUAGCUUGGCGGCAACACGGCAUAAUGUGUUCCCUCUUCGUCUGCCACCACUGUCGGCUCAGUUCAUCAAGGCCGCUAGGAUCCGUCGUCAUAACUCUGUUCUCCUCUUCGCCGCUUUGGCCUCCUCAAUUGCAGUCCGCCGUGCAUCGAUCUUCGCGUUCCUCAAUUGCAGUCCUUGCCGUUGAGAAGCAAUGGCACUGGUGGGGCAUGGGCGACGGCAGGUGGCUGAAGAUAAGAAGCGAGGGGCGCGGCGCGGUACCUGCCGUUGAAGAGGGAAGAUCCCGACGAGGGCAGCUGUGCCGACGCUGCCCCAGAUGACCACCGUCGAGGAGAGCAGGGACCAGUUACGUAAGAUCAUCCCUGCAAGCACAUGCAUAUGGCGGCCACGACCACGGCCUGCUUCACCUUCUUCCCGGUCACCUCUCCAUGCCGGAAUCUCGGAUCGAGUAGCUCGUCGGGCACUCGCUGGCGAGCAGCGGCGCGACCCAAGCGACGAGGCUUACCUCCGCUGCCGCCGCGCCCCCGAAACUUCGCCCUACUCCGCCGCCCUGUGACACCGGAGGUCGAAGCCGCCGCCGCCGCCACUCGCGUCCGCGCGCCCUUCGCCGCCGCCGCAGCCCGGCGUUCCCUUCGCCUCUUCCACCGCCGCCACCGCCCCUCUCGCCCUUCACCGCUGCAGCCCCCGCCCCGCGCGCCGUUUGCCCCUGCCACCGCCGACGAGAACAAUCGGGAGUAGGGAGGAUAAUACCGGGGGACCGGUAAGGAGAGGAGAAAGGAAAUAGGAGGGGGGGAAUGGAAAAGUAACACGGGCUGCUGCUGCCCGCUCGAUACCUCCGCUCGAAUCUCAAAGACAACGGUGGAUGUCGCACACACUGCAGCACGUAUGUACGUGUAUGUGCGAUCUAAUCUGAUCUCGUACGCAGUUGGAGUGGCGCCAGAAUUGAAGUGCGUACGAUGUACGUAUAGCAUCGUCAUCUGCUCGGUCCAUAUACACGGCAUGUGGAAGCAUACGUGUAUACAUACAUACGUACGUACAACGGGUGCAUGCAUGAUGGACGGUCAUAAUCGAUCGGCCGGACCACAUAGCUAGCUCCAUGUUCGUAUUUUUCUUGCAUAAAUAUCCGGAUCGGCGUAUAGAUCGACCGAUGCAUGCAUGACUACCAACCUUAAAUCCGCGUAACAUGCUCGUAAAUCAAGGUUUUGGCUCUACGCAUCAAGUGCGUGCAUGCCAUCUCUUGUCCAUCAUUUUGGUACUACGUACGUACUGUCAUUUUCGUCUUGGCGGAGGUAUGCGUUUUGUCCACAUGGCCACAUGCUAGCUAGCUAGGUUCCUUCCAUAGUUCCAUUUAUAUACUUGCAUGAGCAAUUAGUGAACAAUACGCGCACAUACAUAAUGGUUGUGCUUGUGCAUGCAUAUGUGUGUACGCAUACACGACUAUACGAGCAUGAGCACGUACCCAGACAAGAUGGUAUAUAUAGCAAGUUUACGUUGCGGUUGUGCGUAUGUACGUAGCGUAUGUGUACGGCCGAGACACGAAAAUUGCAGCCAGUACGGGUUACGUACGUGCGUACGGCGGACUGACACGAAAUUUGCCACACACGAAGCGUUCAAGUCUCCCUUGGCCGUGUUCCCCGAAUUAGUAGCUAAUCAGUACCCGCGCCCGAUCGACGGCGACAUCGACUCUGCUGCUGACCGGAGCAUGGAUUCGACAUCGACUCUGCUAGACAACGGUGGGCACCUGUGUUCGUUAGAUUGUCCGAUAACUCUUUUGUUCUUAAUUGUAAAUGCAUCCAGGAACCUGGACUCCGUUCAGAAAAAAUAAAUCAAUGAGAUUAAAUGCGGACAUGUGAACCAAGCAUAUAUUAACGAAGAUUGAUGAUUGAUCUAUAUAUAUCCAUCUCAAGCAUACAUAUCAAAUCGUUCAUUCACGGGAUCUAAUUAAUUAAAGUUUGACUGUUAAAAGCUUUCCAUAAGAAACCGUGGCUCCGCACUCUAUAUAUUGUCUUUCCCAAACAACAUACUAUUAGCAAGGAAUCAUACGAAGUUUAGCCCAAGGAACUCAUUUGCUUUUGCCAAUGGGUUGUGGAUAUGUUGUCAUAUCAAUCUUACUAUGCUUUACAUCCGCACAUUGCUUCCUCACUUUCGUUGAAUCAACAGAUGUAGGUGGUAAUCUGCAAAAGAAUGAGAAGGUACUUCGACCCAUGAGGCUCUUUCUCAAUUUUUUUUUAAUAUUCGCUAAAUCUCGUAUAUGCUUUGACCAUUUAGUGCUGAUCGUUAUAAAACUAGUCUAUUGUAACUAUCCUUUGUUAUGUUGCCAAUUAAAAUUAGGAUAUCACAUGUCCGAGAUGUAUGUAUUUACAAAACAAAACCUGUCACCAUGCACAGUUAUGUACAGUCAAUUUGAAUUUAAAUUUAGUUCCAAACUUCAGUUAGUUUUCAAAUUAGGAUAGCACAUGUCCGAGUCCUGGCAUAUAUUAUUCAUAACAUGAGAAAAGGAAAUAACAUGCAUUUAGAAUCUGCAGCACGCAUAGAUUGCAUGGGUCAAAAGGGGCCGCCUCGUGCUUGGGCCGAACGAGGCUUCCCAAGUAGCGAGGUCGAGAUACCCUUAAGACUCUAAUCCGAUUCCAUCUCCUUCAGGCUCGGGCUGAACGAGACUUUCCGAGAUCCCGAAACUAGAGCUCCUCUCAAAGAGGCUCUCUAGCCCUCUCCCCUUGAGUUUAUUCAAGCGAGAGUGAAUAAUACAUGCCUCCAUGAGGGGUAUUUAUAGCCUAGGGGUCCAUGACAAAAGACCAUGAUUACUCUUGAGGGAGAGAGAAAAGUGGGGGCAAAAGGUUAAAAGUAGCUCCUUUGGUCCAUAACUUUUGUGUGCACCAUGUGAGAAAAAUAGGGCUUGGUCCAUGAUCCACUAUGGACUAAAGGCUCCCUCCUCUCACCUUUCUUGCCUCCUACUCUAUCUCAUUUGAUCCUUUGAUCAUGGCAUGAGAGGCUUGACUCGUUGACUAGUCUUCUUUUACCACGUAGGAUUGACCGCACCACGCAGGUGUCUUGACUCGUGCUUGCGAAAUGUUGACUUGGUCGUUGCCACGUAGGAUUUACGGUCCGACCCAUAUAAGGGUUUUAUUUUACUACAACAAGCCUAAAUUAAUUAUUCUUGCAGAACGCUACACUUUUGGUAUCCAAAUAUUUUCGGUUCGUCCAGAGCGCGGUAAAUCAGGCCGGAGAAAUUCAGAACAGUACUCUUUCAACACCCAAACCUAUCUGUUAACCAGGAGAUCCAACCUUUUGGGUGUAGACAGCAACACUGUUUCUCAUGUACUCUCUCUCUCUCUCAAAAGAUGCAGCAUCCCCAUUGGUUAAUUAUGUUUUUUUUCACUACUAUUAAUGUCUUCGAUUGUUCCUUAAUCUGAUUUAUGUCUUAUUGUCGCUGGUAUGCAAUGUGGCACACAAAACCAGGAAAACAUCAUGGUCUUCGAGCAGAAAUGAGUAUAUGGGGUUCACCAAAUCAACAAUACUCUCAAGACUCCGGAUCAGCCAUACAGAUCUAUUGUGCAGAAGGAGGUCGCUACCGCCUAAUCGAAGCCAGAUUUCACGUAUAAACAUAUCACGAUUAUUCCAGUAAUCUCAAAAUACUUUUCAAGAAACUGUUAUCUUAAAUUCUGGUUCGGUCGGCAUGCAGGUUGCCCCUCUUUGUACCACAAUAGAGAUGUCCGUUUCUUCACGUACUAGACGGUAAGCUUAAACCAGCAUGCCAUGUGAAUAAAAUGCAGUAUGUUGAGUUUUUCUCCCACAAUUUUCUAUUUUUUUACUACUUAUCAGAUUUAGCUGUGGUCAUUAAUUGUUUCCCACGAUAAUACAUAAGGACACCAAAUCAGCAGGCUGCUACAACUUGGACUGCUCCGGAUUUGUUCCUGCGCGUGGAGCUGCAUUGGUGCCUGGUCAAGCCAUUGCGCCUACGUCGAUUUAUUACGUAUAAGACCGUUAUGUCAGGCUUAGCAUAAAUGAGGUGCCCUUUUAUCCCAGUAGAGACAAACAUACAUUUGAACGUACAUGGCUAAUAACAUGCUACUACUUAGACAUAUACUAAUUAAUAUGUUAUGCCAUGUUUAAAUGAGUUCUUCUACGGUACUCCGGAAUAAAUAUGAACGUUCAUUUUUUUAAUCAGAUUGGUUGUUACUCCCUCCUACUCCAACUAAGUAUAUGGAGUAUUAGGAAGGCAGGGGUAAAUACGUAAUCUAAACCUGUGCAAACGAAAAAAAACGUAAAGAGCUUGUCCGAAGGGGGCUGCGCCGGUCGCCGCGCGGAGGACGGCGUUGGCUGCAGCGAGGCCCGCGACGGGUGCGCGGGGGGCUGCGGGCGGCAUGCUGGAGGUGGCCGGCGGGGGCCGUGGGCGGCGUGCUGGAGGAGGCCGGCGGGGGCCGCUGCGACGGCCGCGGGCGGCGCGCUGGAGGAGGGCGCCACCGGUGCGCAGGAGUAUGGCCGCGGCGGCGCCGGAGGAGGGCGCUGGCGGCCGCUGCGAGGGCCGGGGCAGCGAGCUGCGCUGAGGGCGGGGGCGCGCUGGAGGAUGACCGCGCCGGCGCUGGAGGAGGGCGCCGGCGUCCGCUGCGAGGAUCAUGGGAGAGGCGCGGUGGAGCAGGGCCCGCGGAGGCGCCAGAGGAGGACGGCGCCAGCGAGCGGCAUGAGGGUGGCGGCGUCGCCGGAGGGUGCGAGCUACGCGAUCGAGACCACUGGAUCAGCACCAACGCGAUAGGGAAGAAAGAAACCUGAUGUGUUUUGGUUUUUAAUGAAAAAAGACAAUAACGCCCUUCCCUAAAACUCCGUUUAGCCCAUUGGAGUAUCAGGUACAGAAGAAAACCCCGUUUAACUAUUUGGAAGUGGAAGAUAAGAAUCUAAAAUUAUGUUCACUAAAUAUUUGUAUGUAGUUUCUUUACUCUCUUUUUUCAUGGAAAUCAUCCAUUAUGACCGCCAUCGCUUGUUGAUUGUGUAUGUACAGGAUCCGCACACUGGAGAUUUGGUGGUGUACCGGCACGACUUGGAGAGCCCCUCAUUCUUGGGGCAUUUCCCGCGGGAGCUUUGCCCUGGAUCGUCGCGAAUACAAGCACUGACUGGAUUUGUGAAUUACCUAAAGAAUGUACCGGGUCCUCCAAUGGGCAGCGGCUACUUCCCCACUAGUAACGCCAAGAGAUCUGGAUACUUCAAGCAUGUCAAGAUUUACGACUCCAAAGGUCACGCUUGGGACCCAGAUUCAACUCCAAUGGAACGUCUAGUUGACAGAUCAGACUGCUACCGGCUUACCGAUCUCGAUCUUGCGUUUAAGAUGGGCUACACGUUUUAUUAUGGUGGACCAAGUGGUUGUGUUGGUUGACAACACAAGUUCUGUUUGCUUCAUGCGUGUGAUUCAAUAAAGCAUAAAUUAUGCAGUAUAUGUUUCUUGAUGAACGUACAAUGUCAUGCCUGUUUGUUUUCUUGCCAGAUCGCAUUUAGCAUAGGGCCUGUGUAUUAUCCCAAUUCAUAUCAAGGUUUUAUAUCAUUGGGCUAUUAAUAAAAACUUAUUUUCUGGUCAAUCUGAAAAAUUAUAAUGGUGAAAAGAUAACCAUGGUAUAACCGGUGGCAGAGCUAGGAAAGAAAUUAUUGAGGGGUCAACCUUGAUUAGUAGACUACUCUUAUGUUUUUUCUCUUUCUCUCUUUUUGAGAAAAACAGUACAGAUCUUAACACCGAUUAUCUAUACAUGUAAAGGGAUAAUAAUGCAUUCAUGCAUGUGAUUGAUCGCUGCAGCUGCAACCAAGGUCAGACCAGGUUGACAAUAGUGCUUCUCAUAAGUAGUGUACUUACGGCAGGAAAUUCGAUCACCCUGAAAACAGAUGAGUUAAGAAAUGAAGAAAUGAUGUAACUGCAGUUUAAAUGUUUUAUACAAGAUCACACAUGUUUCAUAGAAAACCAAAGAUACCUGCUACAAGAAAACAAGGUGCACUAUGUACCGGCUAUACACUUCCUGACUUCCACUCAUACUAAUACGAUGGAAGGGAUCAGCUCGCUGGGUCUUACAAGCAGUAAAGCAAGCUGCCAGAUCAAGAGGGUUAGGGACAACAUUUUCUUUUUUGUACAGAUCAAUUCCCACCAUUCACACCAAAACCUCAAGUGGUUAUUUCUCCCUUUACUCGCACUGGCUGCGUCAAUGAGCACUUAGAUACAACUCAUUUACAUCAGAAAACAAGAGCAAGCUAGAUCUAGGGGUUUUGAGUCUGUUGCACACAAAUUGCUGGAUCUACUGGCAGCAUCCUCCUCCGUGUUUUGCAUUGUUCUCCUGCUUCUGUUUCAGUGAGUUCCUCUUAACGACUGAAGAUCCUUCCUCCGAGAGACUUGGAACCUCAAGGAUCUGCAAUAUGUCAGCACAGUAAGGUGGCUGCAGAUAUCACAUCCACAAGAAUAGAGUGUAUCAAGUCGAUUAUCUGAUAAAAACAAGGCUGACAAAUCGGCUCAAGCCUGUUCUUGUUAGUACGGCGGGUGAUACCCUAGGACUUACUAAAUGGAACAUGCAGAAGUAAUCAUACGUCAUUGAUACAAUGAAAAAUGAAUCCGUCUUCCAGAUGAACUUAAGAAUAGCAAGACUGUACAAUGAACAUGAAAAGAAGAACAGCAGAUGUAGUCCAAAUAUACAGUUAGGACGCAUAAGUUGUAGCAGUAGAAACAUAGGAACAUAAAAGGGUUAAAUAUGAAGUAGAAUUAGAUCUCCUAACUUUACUAGGGGGGCUAAGGAAGAAAACUAUUAGAAGACUAGAUAUUCCCAUGUUAAGGGAAAAAUCAAGUUCAGUCGAGGCAUAUCUAGGAAAAGCAUACUGCACACAAAUUUGGCUGAUGGUUAUAGACAGACGUCCACCCUAAAUAUGUGGCAGAUGUGCAAAUAUACCACCUUACACCAGUUCACACAGGCAGGCAUGCAAAAAAGCCUUACGUUGGUUCACUGUUCACUUGCUGAACAUUACAUCACAAUGUAAGCAAAAUAAAAUUAUGUCACAAAAAACUGGAAGACUCUUCAAAUAACAUUUGUGCCAAAUAAUCCGACAAGCUCAGAUUUUGCAGAUAACCUGCCUGAAGAGUAGUUUGCUCGUCCUCCCCAAGGGAAACACUAUUCCUAAAUGAUGCUUGGGAAGAGAAAGCACACUUAAACAACAGUAGUUAUCUUGAACUUCUUUCUUACUGUCUCUUAAAAAUAAAAAUGUAAAUCUAUUGACUCGUUAGUGCAUGUUUCAAGACGUCAAGGGGGCAGUUCUCAAGUCCAGGUAUCAAGUGAUAUGCAAGUUAAGGGACCCGGGUACACUUUACUCUUGGAACAUGCACAAACUGAUGGGCGACAGCACAAUAUACAUUGAUUACUGCAUUGAUCAUAGACAAGGAAAGGCAUACACAACCAGAUAUUCAGGACUUAUAUCUGAAAGAAAAAUUCAGGCAACACAUGAACAAUACUGCAGCAGAAACAUAGCAGUUACAGGCUUACAGCAUUGCAACAAGAGGAUUUCUAUUCUAGCUGUUCUCCGCAAUAAGAUGGGACAACAAGUAUCAAAUAUAUCGCAUCUAGUGGAGGAAUGUCCAUUGCUUUCUGAAAUGCAGCAUCGUAUUCCAAAUUUGUUACAAACCAGUCAACUAUAUAUUUGUGGAGCUUUGAAUCUAUGGGAAUCUAUAACUUUACAAGUCCCUAUUUUUGGAGUUCUAAAAGAUUAUUUUAUGGUCAAAAGUAAAGAGGUUAAGGUUAUGGUGCUUAGUAUACUUCUCUACGUGUACCUUUAGCGCAAGCUCUUCAAAACAUUUCUCCACAUUUUCUCUUGUUUUGGCGCUACUCUCGAGAAAUAGGCAUCCACAUUCCUGUGCAAAAGCAAGACCUUCUUCUCUUGUCACCAUUCUUUCCUCAUCCUGCAAGAACCAUAAUAUUCAGAACACUCUAGUGUCACUUCAUCUUGUGUACUAUUCCAGCAAAAAGCAUUGCUAAUAGGGUUUAACAUGUUUGGUCUUUUGGGGUUAGAAACAAUCUCAUUCAUUGCAUUAGCAAAUUACUUCUCUUCUCCAAUUCUGUCUGAAUGCCAUAUAUCUGAUAAGAUCUCAAGCGACACUGACUCAUACAGUGGGUCCUAAAAUUGAUCCAACAGGUUUACAUCGCAUCCACCAAACACUUACAUAUUCAAAAAUCAAAAUGUAAAACAACAACAGGUCCCAAAAUCGAACAACAUACGUAACCACUUGAUUUGAAACAAAGAAAAGUAGAAAACAUACCUUGUCCACUUUGUUUCCAACAAGCAUUUUAACACACUCUUUGUUUGUUGAGUGCAAUUCUAUUUCCUUGGCCCAUACAUCAGCAAGAUUGGUGAAACUUUGUCUCUUUGUGACAUCAUAAACUAAACAGAAGAAGAAGACAACACAAAGUUAAACUCAUGCAAGUUAACCUGCAAUGCUUUUCACAGAAUAAAAGAUACACUGUAAGGUUCUUUUUUCCAGAUAUUCUGUUGCUACAAGUAAUCACAACAAUCAUUUCAGCAUCACUAAUCACAACAGAAGUUCUCGCUCACCAAAUGUUGCUACGAAAUGAUUAGGUGGUACAGUAUCUGAGUGAGGUGAAACCUAGGUUCAGUGAAAAAAAAUCAAUUGAGUAUGAUAAAAACAUGACAAAAAUUAAUUGCACAUCUAUUGGCAGCAUAUCCAAGAAUCAGUAUACAGAUGGUCAAAUGGAAUGAUACAACUAACUAGAAAGACCAUCAACUUGGUGAUAAGGAGGAAAGAUCUAUAUAAUGGAUAAGAUUGGAAAGUCACAAUAUCGUUCACAAAUUACUACUGAGUAGUAUGUUAUCUUGCUCGAUUUAUAUGGCUAUUGAAAAGAUCAAGUUGAGCACGCAUGCACUUUGUAAAAAAGAACUGCAUCCUGCACACUUGCAAGUCAGGCAUAAAAAAUGGUUAGAGCUUUUAAUCGUGGCCGUGCAAUAAAAUCUUAGAAGAUAACAUAUUACCUAGAAUAAUUCCAUGAGCACCUCUGUAGUAAGAACUGGUGAUUGUCCUAAAUCUCUCCUGGCCAGCUGCAAACAAUGAAAAGGAGUUGGCCCAGCAGUUGAAAGUGUAGUAGUGUACUUUUCUUAUACAUUGUGAAACAAUUUGGUCGUGCCCAGGACAGAACAGGCCAAGUAAUGAGCUCUUGCUGGGCUAGGAAAGAAGUUUAAAGUAUGUAAGUACAGAAGAGCUAUUGUCCCCCAAAAGCAUACAUCAUACAUACAAUAUUGUCAGGAAAGCAUGUAAGCAGUAACCCCAUAUUAAUUAAAAAAAAUGCAACAGAACUUACCGGUGUCCCAUAUUGUCAACUUCAGUUUCUUCUCACCGACAGUGAGAAACUUGAUUUUAAAAUCCACUCCUGGAAAUCGUUGUCAAUUCAAAUAAAUUCUGACAAGUAAAUAACAGGGACGAUACAUCAACUAUGGUGGAAUAACUGGAUGGGUUCCUAUUCAGGACAAAAGGAGUUGGAGCUGCUAGCCUACUAGUGCUGGAAAAUAUUCAUGGUAAAAAUGUGCUGAUACUGACAGAAUGCGAGAUGAGCUGAUCACUGUCUAUUUGGAAUAUAGUUCGCCACACCUGUUUCGUCUGCUAGUAAUGUCAAAAUUAGUUUCACUCGAUUUUAAGCGAGGUAGUUUUACAGACGCUCCUGAAUCUUCUUCUUUUUUCAUCUGUAGUAGCACCAAGCAUGAACCAGAUGGUAAAAGCUCGUCCCACUGUUUUCCUUUGAAAAAGGAGAAUAAAAAGAAGACGGUGCGACCCCCCUUGCCUUAAAACCGCUGCUUACCACUAACGAAUUUCUAGCCUCUUAACGAAUGAACAGACAAAACAUUCUCGGGUCAAGGUUCCACCUUCCAGACCAUCAAAAAUCUAUCCCACGCACGGCAUGACACCUGUUAUUUAAAAACCAAGGUUGCGGCACGAGCCGUUGCUAAAGAGCAGAAGUACCCUGGCACCCCGUAUCCCCAACAAACUGAUGUCGCGGCCGGUGUCGCGGGUGAUGACCCCUGCCCUUAGCUUAGCACCCUCGAAAACCGACUUCACCAGCACUAGCAUGAGAGCCAUGAGCCCAUGACCAUCUCCAGGCAGGGAAAAUAUACGAAGACGGCACGCACGGGGGAGGGGGCAUCAUCAUGAUAAUCUAUAAACAGCGGGACAGGAUAACGCCAGCCGCGACAGCAAUCCCAUCCCCGUCCCAUCAGAGACAGCAUUAAUUGCUGCGGUGUUCCCCUAAUCGGGACGGGGCAGGCUUGGGCGCAGGGUGGGGGACGACGCGCGCACGGCGUGACGAAUUGAAGCUGGGAGAUCCAGCGGAGCGGAGGGUUUGGGAAGGCCGUGGUGGUACCUAUGGUGGGGGAGAUGUCGUGGUCGGUGGGGGAUGCGGAGACGAAGCUGACGAGGAGGCUGCUCUUGCCGACGGCCGAGUCCCCGAUGAGCAGGAUCUUGAAGGAGCAGUCGUAGCUGCUGGUCCCCGGCGACGUGCCCAUGGUGGGCAAGGGGAUGGGAGGCAGACGGCGCGAGCGAGCGAUCGAAUCGCGGGACGGGAGCGAAGCGAAGCGAAAUGCGGGGUGGGUUGGUGGUGAGAGGGAGGAGGGAGAGAUUCUGGAGAAGCGAAGCGAGAUUACUAGAGGAGAGGAGAAGGGAAUAAAGCGAGAGAGAGUCGAUGGAAGGAAGGAAGGAAGUCGAUCGAAACGGAACGACGAGGACUAUCGGUUACGUUUUUGGGUGCGUGGCGCGGGGGAGCGGGACAGGUGGCGUCGCCUGGGAGCUCGGCGCCGCGCACGACGCAACCGACCGGGCGGCGUCUUCUCGGCUCGUCGUGUUGCUUUGACUCGGCUGCCUGCCUGCCUGCCCCGGGGAUGAUGAGGUGACCAGAGCACGGUUGCAGGUUGCCGGCAAACCCAGAAACCAGAAGCAGCUGGAAACAAUUUCGUCGUGUACGUGCCACCUUAAAAAAGAAAAAAAAAAACAGUCUCAAAAGCGGUAAUGCAUGAUUGCCUACCUAGCUUCCUUAGUUUUUAUCUGCAAAGAACAUCGUCCUAACAUAACACUAGGACAUCUUUUGGGUCACGGGAUGAUGAUGAUGCUGGCCGGUGAGAUACAUCGACGACGGCUGGAUCGGAGAUGGUUCCUAAAGCAGAGAAAGAGCACGAUCGAACCCCCGGCGAUCGAUCAUUCCGCCUUUCCUAUCCUUUUUGAAACUUCGCGUAAUCAUGUCUCUCGCCCGUGUGUUAGUUAGUGGAAGCCAAGUGCCGCCGAAAAGCCCUUUAGCUUAGCCGGUGAGGUUAUGCGCAUCAGCAAGGUUAGGUCGUGGUCUCCGUUGCGUAGGUGAAAGGUGCGUUCUUGGCCUCUGAUAACAGGUACAAAGGCCGUCAUGGGAAAAACGAAAAUGCUUUCGUGUUCACGGGUGAUCAGCAUGCAAGUUGAAUUCAUAGGUCUAGUCGAGGUCGAUCUCAGAGUCGAGCUGUCUGACUCCGUGAUGCUCUGUGGUUGAAGACAAUCUGGCGAUAUCCAUCGAAAGUUACGGGCCAACUGCGAUAUCCGAAGCCCAGUACUACUACCUAGGGCCAGCUUAUUGCGUCCCGGCCCAGCCCAGCCCAGUCCAAUAGAGCAAUCAGGUACGGCUACACGGUAUUGCUGGCUAAAAAAUAACAAUAACGGGAAUUGCUAAUGCUCACUGAGAUUUGAGAGUGAGAUUUCCUGUCUUAGUGAACCGAAUUCAGCAAGCGUAUAACGAGCACACAACAGCACAGAACAAUGUAAUUGAUGUGUAGCACACGGGGACCCUUUUGGCAGGCUACAGCGUCGUACGUCUUCAGCAUUUUCAGGCCGUCAUCCGGUCUGGCGGGUGUUGUAGGAGCUGCAGCCGGGGCACUUGUGCGCCAAGAUGUGGAACUGCACCUCCGACGCCGCCCCGCAGUCGUUGCACAGGAUCCAUAUCUGAAAAAACACCAAAAAAAAACCAACAAUCUUUCAGUCAGCACGGGACUAGCUAGAUCGACGGGUUCGACAGAAGGAGAACCCAAAUUAACGAGACGGAUGGACAUUGAUUUCUCCUUACCAUCUUCUUCUGAAUCGCCGGCAUCGGCGACGCCGCGACCUGUCGAUCGAGCUUCUGCCAGGCAUCGGACAUGUCGCAGGCGGACUUGAGGCAAACGGGACACGAGAACCUGAGAGGAAAAAAUGUCGCAUAUAUGCUGACACCAUGUUCAUGGGGUAAUUAAGUCUAUCUGACCCUGUGUCUGUGUGGAUAUAGAUAUACUUACCGUCGAUGUGCUCUCAUCUCGCGGAGGCAUUCCACGUGGAUCAUGUGCCCGCACCGCAGCACGUUGAUAUCUCUCGCCGACUCGAACAUGUACUGUAGCAGAAAUCAGAUAAAGGGGAAGCCGAAGCAAAAAGCAAAAAUUCAAUCAGAAACAGGGGAAUUCAAAUUCUUUGCUGAAGAUGAUCUCUCUGGAGUCUGAGUCCGGAAGAAAGAUGUUCACCUCGAAGCAUAUAGGGCAGUUCUGGUGCAUUGCCCUAUCGACGCAGCGAUGGGAAUCCUUCAGCACGAAGCUGUAGCAGCACCCUGUUGUAUACACAGGCUCAGUGCAACGAUGCAGACUUGUUAGCAGCAGCAGCAAAGGAUUCAGUAACUUGAGUAUAAGUCCAUUUGGCACCAAGAAGGAAGGUUUAGGUACCGCAUUUCUCGCAGUGAAAGAAGUUGUCUGCACCGCCGGUUCUGCGAAAGACGGAGUACAAUUGUAAACUAGGAUUUGGUAUUGGCCUAUUAUGGUAAAUUACAAGGGGUGAUAUGUCAAUGCAGAUACAGCACUACUUAGCGCUUGCCUGCAUAUGCCGCAUCUGUCGCAGUGAAACUGGUUCUUCGAUACCUGCAAUUAGGACAAAGCAACAUCAUACUUCUGAAAAUAUUUCCAAAGCAAAAAGAAUUUAAUCUCGUAGUAAACUGCAAAGUGGUUCGAUCGAGCUCGGACGUGCUUACAUCGUCGUCGAAGAAGUUACAUUUUCCGCAGAAGUAUUUACCGAGGCGCGCCCCGCAGUUUGAGCAAUCCUGUUUUACCUGUAAUAGAUCGAUCAGAUACGAAUUUCAUUCAACUCUGCAAUCCAUGGCUGCACACAGCCGUCAGAGGAAACACUAUCCUUACUCUUCACUGGGGUAAGGAACUUACUUCCUGUUCGUUGUUGCAGAGCGAGCAGAUAACCUGUGAUGUGCAGAAAAGUAUACAUGGUGUAAGAUCACUAUAAGGUGAGGAGGCUCAAACUGAUUAAAACGGUUAGAAAUAGUAACAAGUUCAAUUUCAUUUUUUGGGCAUUCGUUCCUUGAUUUUCUACUCCUAUUAAUAUUUAAGAACCCAGAAAUUCUGCGCAAAGACAAGAAUUCCACCGAAUUUGUUGCUAGACUUUGUGAGCAUCUAGAAUGAACCUGGACUGGACUGGAACCCAUUUCCUGGUCUCUAUUAUACUUGUAUCAGUCUAUAUGCUAUAUACAUCUGAUGCAGCUGUCGGUCCACAUCAAUAUUCAAUAGGAGUGCAUAAAUAGUGCCUCAACCGUGCGGUGAUCAAUCUAUCAGCUGCAGUGCGCCAUCACCAUAAAUAGGUGAAGCAUGUCUAUACAUGUUCACUCUUUUAUCUAUCCAUCCCGUCAUGAUCUCAGCUCUGUUAAGUUCAGCAUGCAUUCAGUUGCUGCGGUGGCUAGUACACUAUGUAUGCAUUGCGUAUUUGCAUGCCAGGAAAGAAGCAGAGGAACUAGUAUUAAUGCUCAAGGAAAUAUUACUCCCUCCGUCCAACAAAAAAUGUCUCAAGUUUGUCAAAAUUUGGAUGUAUCUAGACAUGACUUAGUGUAUAGAUGCAUUCAAAUUUGGUCAAACUUGAGACAUCCUUUGUUGGACGGAGGAAUAGGAAAGAAGCAGGGCAAAAUAUCCGGUGAAAAUCACCUCUACGGUGCAAACUGUGAAAACUUCAUCGAAAAAGGUUCACAAAAUUCUCGAAAAAAUUACAUAUGUUAAAAAAGUGAUGUUUUAUAUAUGUUCAAAAUUUUAAGUCCAAACUCAAUGACAUUUGGUAGCAGCAAAAAAAACAAAUCCUGCAUGAAUAGUGAUCUUUUAAUGUCUGACACUAUUUAUCGUAAAUUUCUCUUUUUAAUUCCUUCCAAAUGAUUUUGACUUUGAACUUGAAAUUUUGCAGGUUUGUAGAAGAUCACACUCCCAGCAUAUGGUAUUUUUGUAGAUUUUUUUUGAAACUUUUAAACAUGAUUUUUAUGAAGUUUGCACCGAACGAAGGUUUUCACCGGAUACGCCGCCAGGAAGCAGAGUAACCGAGGAAGGAACAGGGCCAAGAACACACCGACCAGCUUGAUUUCAUGGCGAGGGAUCUCGUGACGGUCGCGGACGCUGACAGCCAAUGAAUCCUGCGCCGGAACAAAGCAAACAAAACACCUCGCUGAGCAGUUCCAGAACCUCAGGGGAAGAAAAGAAGUAACGCGAAGCGUUUCGACCUUGGCAUCGUCGUGGCAAUGGCGGCAGCCGAAGACCUCGCCGCAGCACGGCGCCCUGAUCUUGCACCUCCUCUUGUAAUGCGCGCACCUGGAUAUGCCGGAAGGAGGAUUCACGCACGGAACAAACGGGUUUACAUUUACAACAACUGAUCGCGAAACAGGAGAAAUGGAGAAUUGAAGUGGGUUCUUAUUGUCGUUUACCCGUACUGCUCUGAUCCCGAGUCCAGCUCCAUCUCUUUCAGCAGUUUGCUCUACCUGUCAGAGGUACCGAAACGAAAGGAAGAAGUGAAUCAAACAAGAAGGUUCAAAGCCAAAUAAAGCUUCUCACCCACCUUCUCUUCUUCGUCUGCCUCUGCAGUCUGCACCUGCCCAGCCGGACAACGGGACAGUCGUAGCAGCAGCCAGCACGCGCCGGAUAUGUUUAUAAAGGAAGCCUUGGGCAGAAAAAGAAGGGAGGAGGAGAAGUCGCGUGGCAUUUCGGUGGCGCUUGAGCUUUAUGUGAAGCAGUAAUAUAAAGAAAGUGCGUGCACAAAGACAGUGAACAUGUAGCAGCAUUUGCCUCUCAAGGCUUCGCUAUGGCACUGGCAACCAAACUGAGGACGAGGAGGCUGGAGUUCUCGGUUCAGAGAGCAGUUGUUUUCGCAGCUUAAUUAAAAUCUUGGUAGUAGUAGCCGCUAGCUUCUAUAGCAAGGAAUGAAUGUCAUCUCUACUGGAUUGUCGGGCGGGCAGAUCCAUCCAUCCAUCCGCGAGCUUUGAUCUCGUCAAGAUUAAAUCUGCAUCGGCAGCUCCUCGAUCCCUUUCAGCCUUUCACUCACGGGGGUUCCGUAAUACUAACACGCUAGUAAUCAACAAUCACCACUCACCAAUUAAAGCGUUAUUACAAAGUCGUGGAUCGGACAGCACGCGCUGGCUAGAAGCUUCUUCUUCCACGGCACUUCCACCACCCUUCUUCCUGCGUGAUCUGCAGUGCAGCAACGACGGCUUCCUAGUUUGUAACUGCAUCUCGAUCAGGGACUGCCAAAGCGAGAUGGUCGAUCGUUUGUUCAGGAAGAAGCUAGUGCCAAAGCUUUCUCUCACUUGGAACUUUUGGCCAGCAGCUUCCAUGCCACACGUGGUGGUAGCGGGGUGAGAGCGAUGCCUUGCCCGGCGCCAUCACGUUUCAGUUCAACCGUCUGCGUACGUAUCUGACGACGCCUCACCAUCGUUUUUUUGACUGACCGGCUGCCCAUAUUCGAACCCUGGUUGGUGCCUUGCCGAGGCGCGGUAAACAAGUAGCCCGGGCCGCGAGUUGCCACUUGCAGCAGGGGUGGCUUCACUUUUGAUGUCGAGUUUUUCUCUGAUGUGCCUUGAACUUGCGCUCGUUGACGACGUCGACUGGAAAGUGGGAACGCACGGCUAUCUUUAGCAUUCACGGCGUGUUACUCGUGCCAACAGUUUACUAUCUCCACGUCUCAGUUUGUAAACCGAAGGCUGAACAUAUUCUCUGCUCUUUUGUGAAAAGAAAAAUACAAAAGAAUGUAAACGUUGGUUCCAAAUAACAGCAGUAUAGAAUAGACAAAAGAGGACUGCUUCGCGUACGACAGUUUUCUUACGAUUCACAUACGACACUAAGUAGUAGCCAUCGAUAUCAGCAGCUCGGAAGUGCUGUAGCCAUUGAUCGGAACGUCGUACACAAAUCGUAUCUAAAGGAUCGUACAUGAAGUAAUUCCGUAGAGAAAACCGAACGGGACAACGAACGAGAAACCAGAUCACCGUGAUACGGAAGGGAGCCUUUAUAUCUUCACGAAACGAAUAAAAGCAAUAUCAUGUUGUUGGUUAAGGACAGGAUUCUUUUUUUUUUACCAAGGUUAAGGACAGGAUUCUGUCAUGAAAUAAUUAGAACAUUAGUUGAGAGGAGCCGGUCCGGAGGGAUUAUACGACCGUUUCGCUUCGUAUAAUCUGGAACGUCUAUUUUCUGAUCCAACGAUACGAGAUCAUCAGAGUUUCCAGACCGGUGUUCGAAGCCGCCGCCUGGGUAGGUUUUCGCCGCGUACGCUCUUGACUCUCGACUCUCAACUCUCACAGGCCUGUUUGCUUUACAACCAAAAUCAGCCCUACCAAAAAAUUGGCUUGCCCAUGGUAUUUGGAUGCUGUUUGGACGAGGGCCAAAAAGUUGGCUGGUCGAGCCAAUCUUUGGCGCGCCCGCGCUACUCCCGCAGAAACCAUUGGCGAAACGAGGACGGCGAAAACCUUCUCCAACGAAUUAGCAACGCGCCAACGCCUCUCCAACCUCUAAUCCUUGGUGGGCCCUGGCCUUUUUUUUAUUUUCUUCUUUUGUGCUCUCUCUGCUACUUUCUCUCUUGUUGUCUAUUCUCUUUUCUAACCUAUAAUUUAUUCUAGAUCUUGUUUGCUAGGGAGUUUGCUACCUCACCAGUGAAAUAGAUCAAGUUAAAUGUUUGAAGUACUACUAACUUGAUUGCAAACCAAAUGCAAAUCGAAAAAGCUUGUCAAAAAAUUUGGCUGCAAAUUACCAAAAUAUUGAUCGUGCUCUGAAUUUGGUCAUACCAAUAUUUGCCAACAAUUUGGUAGGUCUGACCGGGGCUCAAGCCAAACACACCCACAAACUCCGAACCUGAAGCCGCCGUCAAAGCGCACUGCGAGCGACCAAACCCCAGGCACCCGGAGACCCAAAUCUAGCGCCGCAGAUGGCAGUCCCCGGCGGCCGCAACGGCCUCGUUGAUGACGACGACGGCGACCACGCCGAGGCCUUCGCCGCCCUCUCCGAGGACGAGGAGGCGCCACUGCCUCCCCACCUCCGGGCCCUCGCCGACGCUGCCCAGACCGGCAACGCCGACGCCCUCCUCGCCGCGCUUGGUACUGGCUUAAUUCCCCGUUGCCCCACCCACCCCUAAAUUGCGAUCCUCGUGCUCUUCUAGGGUUCCAGAGCACCAUUCGAUUAAGCAGACUACACGUGUUGCGUAGGUUGGUCAUUGGUGUCGGUUAUUGUCUGCGAAGUGCAGUUCUAUGUCUGUCCUUUUGUGAAGAUGUAUAUGGAGGGAUUCGCUAGCCAGGUGGCUGCUUAGCAUGAUCUGGCCGCCAAAAUUGCAGCUGUCUCAACCUCUAGUUUAGUGCUACUGUCUGAACUUAUGCCCUUUUGCGCUAAUAGGCUCAUGUUUCUGCCUGCAUUUUCCUAGUGCAAGUCCUCUAUUGGAUGACUUUGAUGUAUGGUCCUGAAUUCCAUCUGUACAAAAUCUUCACUUGCGCUGUAGCAUUUGAAUUGCAAUUCUGCAUGUAGAAGCACCAGAUGGUUGUCUUCUGCAAUACAAGUGUUAAACUAAAAUUAUAGGUUCCUGAACUCUUUAACAUCGUUCGUGUGAAAAAUGUGGCGAGCUAUAAUUAGCGCCUGACAUCUCUAGUUGUUGCAAUUGCUUUAGAGCCAGGUGGGCAUUGGCUGUAUUGGGCCGAGGAAUUUAGGAAGUAACAUAAAUAAAGUUAGUCACAGAGAAAAAUGUUUAGUGUUUACUGUUAUAAACUAUUUGUUACGUGGCUCUAGAAAAGAGGAUGCGUAUCAGUUAUUUUGUCUUCAGAUAGCAAACAAUGACCAUUUAAUAAAAAGCCACUGCUAUGCCGAACACCCUUAAUUUCUUUGCCUAACCCAGGAAACUUGGAAGAGAUAACUCUAGUUUGUGAGUCGCUUGCCCUGUUUUUAUUUCUACCUGCACAAGUGCUUCCUUGAUUGGCAUGUCGUAUUUUUCUCCAUGAAAACGAUCAACCUUCACUGGAUGGCUUCAUCUCCUUAAUGCCACUUGUUCGUUGUUUCGAAACUCUGUAAUGGUGUGAUCUUCAUUAUUCAAAAACACCUAUGUCUUGUCAUCUUGUAACAUACAUAGUUAACAGUUUAGCACUUGAACUGUCUUACUCCCUCCGGCGGAAUUACUUGUCGAAAUAUACAUGUAUCUAGACGUAUUUUACACAUAGAUACAUUCGUAUUUUGGGCAAAUUUGAGACAAGUAAUACCGGUUGGAGGGAGUAUGAGAUUUUUUUUUUGCCUGUCUUUCUGUAUUAAUUUUUUUUGUUUUGUGAGUACCUGUUGAAGCUGAAGCUUAAUCUGAAAUGAAGGAGAUGCUAUCGCUGGGGUAGAGCUGGGUACAUAAGAGGAUGCUCCUCAUUCCAUUGUAACUGACAGAAGAGGAUGCUCCUCAUUCCAUUGUUACUGUUGUUUUCGACUCUUCAAGCUUUUUUAUAGUUUCAAUUUUCAAGAAGCUCUCUCCUUGUAACAUUAAAAUUGCAUGAUGAUCACAUAUAUCUAACAUUAUAAUGUUUGACUAUAUAUUUGAGGUCCCUACCAUGAUCGCUUAACCAUCUCAAUUUGUUGGGCAAUAUGGACUGCAUUAGUUCAAAAAUCUUGCUGUUAAAUGAUUUUUCUUGAAACUUUGCUUUUCUUGGUUGGUAUCACCAUGCUGGUGUUUUUGGUUAUUAUUACUGGCCAAGAGAAAGCUGGCAACAUAAAAGUCAUUUCUUCAUAUGUGGUUGUCAUCCAUGGAGCUCUGUACUUAGCAUCUAUUAUUACGUUUACGCAGGUAAUUAUGGUGGCAGCAUUGAUGCUCCGGUUGAAGAUGGUGAUACUCUGCUUCACCUAGCAUGCUUAUAUGGCCAUCUACCUUGCGUGCAGGUUUACAUUGUUUAUCUUGCAUUUUUCACUCCGCUUAUUUGUUUUAUCUAACUAUGUUCUUCUUGUCAGCUACUACUGGAACGUGGAGCAAGCUUGGAGUGUAAAGAUGAAGAAGGAGCAAUUCCUCUUCAUGACGCUUGUGCUGGAGGUAUGCUUAUUUUAUUUGCAUUGAGCUUUUGUCAUCAUUGCCUCUCUUUUGUUCUUUGCGCUUUAUAUGUUUAGUUUAUUUAUUGAUUCUUUUGGUACAGGAUUCACUGAUAUAGUCCAAUAUAUUCUCAAUUUUGCUGCAAACACUAAUGGUUGUGCAAAGCGAAUGCUCGACACUGUUGAUGCUGAAGGCGAUACUGUAAACUCUCAACCAUUUGAGCAUAUGCUAACUGUGUUUUACAUCAUCGUAGUAUUUAUACAAUUAUGUAUUUUCUCCAUGCAGCCACUCCACCAUGCUGCUCGAGGGGAACAUUUGGAUGUUGUCAAGCUUUUGCUCGAGGCCGGUGCAUGUCCCAAGAAGGAGAAUUCUUAUGGACAGACACCAGCCGAGAUGGCUGAUCAAGAGACCGAUGUCAGGACCCUGUUAACUGCCAAGCAGGUUGAGGCCAGCGUACAGACGUCGAAUUGAUGGGCCUGUGGGAAUCCUUAGUUGAAAUUGGUAAACUGACAGGUUGAAUUCACUAUCGCAAUACACAGCUAUGAGAAUUGUUUCUUCUAUCAUCAGAACUAUGGAGUUUUGUGCAGUGAGAAAGACAUGAUGUUUCUCAGCUUCUCCCUUCAACAUUUUUGUUGUUGGUAUUUUCACAUUAUAGGAAAGGUAAAAUUGGGCACGUGCCGUACUUUGCCUGCAUGAUCACACGCAGUGCUUGAUGCCUUGCAACUUGCAAGAUUACACGUAGUGCUUCAUGCCUUGCAAGAUUCUUGAGUAAGGGAUUCUUUUUCCACGACGAGAUGAGAAAUUGAGAAUCGAUUCAGUGGAUGUAGUGCAGUGUUUACUGCCUGUAGCCCUGUGUUAUUACUUUGCUAGGCUAUAGAUUGCAAUCCAAGCUGUAUUAGGUAGGAGUAAAUCACACAUUUUUAAAGUCCCUUCAAAUCAAGGCAGACACGAUCACACGAAACCUCUGGGUCCUGGGAUGCUUCGCUUUUCGCACUGUACAAAAAAUUGAAAGUAUUCUCUUCUUUUAAAAGAACAUGCUAGUUUCAAAUUAAUUGCGGUUGAAUGAGCAUUGCUAGGCGUACAUAGUCCUGCAGAUUCCGCGUAUCAAGUUCUCUCGAUCCUUACUUCUCAUGGAUUCCGCGUAAACCAGUUCGAAGCGGAGUCGGACUCGGACCCGUUCUGGAUCUAUAUUAACUGAACAAACCCCACCGCCCACCGCGUAUCCCCUCUUCCAUUUGGUCCUGAACUCCUGAUCGAUCGAUAGUCACCUUUCAAUUCUCCAUGGCGGCGGUGCAAGUGCAACAACGCCUUCCCCUUCCGCUCGCCUCCCCUCAGCAGCUGCGCCGCAGCAACAACACGCCGGUGGCGGUGGUCUGCCGCUACUGGAAGUCCGGCCACUGCAGCCGGAACCCCUGCCGCUUCCUCCACGCGGACGCGCCAAUGGCGCCCUACCCGUCUCCGAUCGUCAAGAAGCGCAACAACACCUGGGUCAACACAUCUUCCCGCGUCGCCCCGAAUCCCAAUGCCGACGCCACGACCACGGUUCCUCCGGCCACGCAGCAUCACGCCGAGCCCGAGCCCGAGCAGCAGCCGCCUCCCAAGCGCGCGCGCCAAGCGGAAGAAUCCUCCGGCGCCCACUCCUGGUGCGUCGGCGACGGCAUCCGCGGCAUCGCGAGGCUUCAGGGCCACGCCAGGGCUGUCACCGGCGUCGCCGUGCCAGAAGCUUCGGCGGGGUCCGGCAGGCAACUGCUGUACUCCGGCAGCCUGGACGGCAUGGUGCGCGCCUGGGAUUGCAACACCGGGUGGUGCAUCCGCGUCGCACCGGCUCACGAAGGGGCGCCGCCCGUAGGCCGCCUGGUCGCCAUGGGCCCAUGGGUGCUCGCCGGGGUUGGCGCCGUGAUCAGCGCGCUCCACACGGGGACCGGCAAGGUGGUCCAACUGCGGCUCGGGCCCACCGCGCAGGCCGUCAAUGCCAUGCUUGCCGAGGACGAUGACGAAGACGGCAAACGGCUUUUCGCCGGCGGGGACGACGGGGCCAUCUACAUCUGGAGGCUGGACCGCGAGCGCCAAACCUUCGACGAGAUCGCCGCUCUCACGGUCCCUGGACUGCACGCCAGCGUUUCGUCUCUGGCGCAGGGGAAAGGCGCGCUCUACGCUAGCCACGAGGACGGGGCCAUCAGGGCCUGGGACCUCGAGACCCGCCGGUGCAUCUGCAGCUUCGCGGCCCACGAUUCCAAGGUCACGGCUUUGCUCUGCUGGGACAUGUUCCUGCUGUCCUCGUCCCACGACGGCACCGUCAAGGCCUGGCGGUCACCGUCGUCGAAGCCGGACCGCGAAGGCGGCGAUGACGGCCUGGAGGAGCUCGAGGAGCAUUGCACGCACAAGGAAGAAGGCGGCGAGCGGGUGGUCGCCAUGGAUGGCACGUAUGACGCGGACAAGAAGCCCGUCCUGCUCGUCUCGCGCUGCGAUGGCGUUGUCGUCGUCUACGGGCUCCCGUCUUUCGAGAAGAGAGGGCAGAUCCUCUGCAAUGGAGAGGCCGGGGCGAUAUCGGUGAGGACCCCCGGUGUGGUCUUCAUCGGAGACCAGUCCGGCGAGGUCAGGGUGGCCAAGUGGACGACGGCUGCUGCAGCUGAAGCCCAAGUUUAGCUAGCUGUUACGGUCUCUGUACAGUACUCCCUCCAAUCCAUAUUACUUGUCGAAAUAUUACAUGUAUCUAGACGUUUUUUAGACUUAGAUACAUUCAUAUUUAGUCAAAUUUGAGACAAUUAAUAUGGAUCGGAGGAGUAAUUAACCUCUUUGACAUGUAGAUCACUGGCAGUUUUGUUUGUAAGCCAGUGAGUUCGUACGGCAGAGCAACAUUAAUUUGCUCCUUGUUUUGUAAGAUAGCUAAUCGGCCAUAGUGAAUUGUCUCAGCAUUCCUUUGGCACAAAAGAUACGAUAGCGGGUUACUCAUGUGUAUACUAGAGCUCUUCAUGCUUGAAAUCCGGAUGAUAAUUGAUCAUGGGUGGAAGCUUCAGAGCUGACGAACAAGUACAUACUCAGACUCUUAUGAACAUCAAAUGAUCUUAACCGUAAUUCUUAUUCAGAAGCACGAAUGUAUCGUCAUUACAUCAGAUUUGCAGGACUAAGAUCAGAAUACAACACUUGCAUAUUCCCACCAGUUGAGGAUCUGAACAACCACCAUCACUUCAAUUCUACUGGUAACAAACCAUUUCUCUGAAGUGAACAACUAAUCAUCAAACAUAAUUUUCAGAAUUUUUAUCUGCCAUGUCAACGGAACCUAUCCAAGAUAUGAUUAACAAGCACAUGCCGCGCAGCAAAAAAAGCCUGCCCAGAAAGCAAAUCUACGGUUUUGACAUGUCCAGAAAGGAAUUUACAUAGCUAAUUCUGGAGCUAGGUUUAUUGAUCAUCUGAUCAUCUCUCUCUCUCUCUCCCCCCUCUAUGAUGCUGUCUUGUGCUUAGGCUUUACUAACGCCCGGCAACAUGAAGCUAAAGCGUCUGAUGCGUCAAGAAUUGGUGGAAGCGUGAAAGGGGGGAGAACACCACCUUGCGCAAAGGCCAAAGCAUUCCCAUCGAGUGUGUGUGCCAUUGCAACCUGCUGCUUGUUCAGCCCCUCCAUUAUGCAAGAGAACGCUGCAAAGGUGGCGCAACUCUGAAGCAAUGUUUGAGGCGCUCCUGGAUUGAGAGACACUAUGUAAGGAAAUCAUAUAGCCAAAGUUCCAACAAUUAACAGAUAUAAAUAGUGGUUGAUAUUAAUGUAUUCCACAUAGCAGUUUGGAGUGCACACACACAGAUGAUUGAACAAACAUAAGUCCAAUGUUGAAAUAUCAUUCCCAUGUUAAGCCACAUCUAUCUUCUUACAAGGCCAAUUGAACAAAUGUGCAAGUUAUAGACCUGUACUUACUUGAGUAAAAUAAUGCAAUACGGUUAUGACUGCCAUGAUUCAACUACGUUGCCAGUAAAACAACAGAGAGAUGCAAUUUAAGCUUACAAGAUAUGUGCUAUGCAUAACGUGUCAAAUGUACCGCCAGUUCAGACCUUUUCAGGUAAUGUAAUAUGCAUGAGCACAACAUGAAAUAGAAAACUGUGGUACAUAAAUAUAUUAUAUUUGUAGCAGCAAAUUAUCCUGCAUGAACUGUGCAAAUCAGGAACACCAGAUGCAUGAGCAAUUCAGUUUAAUUAGAUCACACAACUAACUGCACAGACUGUGCGGUCAUGAGCUAUGUAGCUCGGUUAUUUUUUCAAGGGUCAUUGAUCAGUAAACCAAAAUAAUUUGUUAACUACUGAGCAAAAGAUGGAUAAGGCCAAACCAUUGUCAUAUAGCAUUACAUAUUUUCCAUAUUAGGGACAGUAGACCAGUCCAUUGUCAAGUACACUCAUGGGAUGUGAAAAUAAUGUUAGUUCAAUGUAAAUGCACCUGGAAAGCUCAAAGCAAGGCCAGUGCAACAUCCAGCAAUGCCAGCAUUGACAACUGCGAAAGGAACAUGUCAGCUUAGACUUAUGUAUCCAAACUCUGAGAUUUAACCAGAUCGUCCAGAUAAGAAAUAAACAUACUAUCAUCUUUUCCACGCAGCUUUCUCAACAAGCACACAACCACACUUUGGACGCCAGAGAGAACUGCAAAAGUCUGAUCCGGGAAAUUUCUAUCAUAAACGAUCUGCCGUGAAAGGGAUAGAGGUAGAAAAGUUUUUUUUUUUUUGACGAAACGGAUACACCAUGUGAAAAAUAUGCAUUCCUAAGCAUUGUAAACAAGACCUUGGCAGAAGACCCUGCACUGCUGAAUGAGCCUUUGAAGCCCUUCUGAGUGAUCAAACCUUGUCCUGAAACAGAAUCCAAUGAGGCACAUAAGGGUUUCGAGGAAAUAACCAAGUAUCCAUCUUCUGUUAGUGAACACGGCGGCGGGUUUGGGGGUAAAUACCAUAUCCAACGAUGGAUCCAACGAAGGCGCCACCGGCGAAGUCUCCGGCAGACCGGACGAAGCAGACGACUGGGGCGGCAGAUAGAGGCGACGGCGGCGAGCCUCCCUCGGCGGAGCCGGUGCCCUCGGCUGCUCCGAGCUCGUCGCCGUCCGGCUCGUUCUGGCGCUUGGCCGACAUCUCCCCGAACGAACUCGUGGACGGGGGUGGUGGACGUGAAUGGCCACCGGCAGGGGACGAUGGCCGAGAGGACGGACAGGCGGCGGCGGCGGGAGCACGGACGGGCUUGGAGGGCGAUGCAGUGGGCGUGGGCCGUGGGCCGUGCGUUCUUUUCAGUUAAACCGUCGGCCCGGCAGUCCAGCGACGAACUGUCCUUUUGACUCUUUUUCUCCGUCCGAGCGAUUUGGCUCCGUCCUUCCUCCUCCGACGACGCCAACAGACGUAAUUGUAAGAUGACCAACAGACACCAGUAGCUACAUGAUACUCAGCGCGUGUUGACGCCGACGACCUUGGCGCCGAGGAGGAAGAAGUCUGUCUGACCGUCUGGAGCUUGGGCUCGUGCUGCUUGCCAGUGGACUCCCAAGACGGCGGCCGGGCGGCUCGCUGCAGGCGCUUCGUGCUUCCAGGGACGGAGGUAGGAAAUUUUUGUUCGAUGGGUUCGCUUAAUAUUUUGGCACAAACUAACUACUCACCCUUUUCCAUAAUUGUUGUCUCAAAUUUGUCCAAAAAUAGAUAUAUUUAUUUCUAAAAAAUGUCUAAAUACAUGUCGACAAGAAUUAUCGAACGAAGGGAGUAGUACUCAAAUAUAAGAGGUAGCAAUUAUAUUGCAGAUGGAAUUUCUUCGGUUCUCCUCUUCUUUGCAGGUCAUAUUUUUUUUGCAUUGUUGAAAUGUUACAUGUCCGCAUGUUAUAGCACCAAGAACAUCCACAACCUUUUUCUUAAUUUUGAAAAAUUCAAAGUGGUUUUAUGGACAUCAUGUGUCUACACACAUGUGCACCUAAUCAGCACUCAUCCUGACAUGUUACUACCAGUUGUGCGUCUUGCAAAGGAGUCGUGCUCACAGGGCCCAACCGUACACUGUGUCAGAGUAGAAGUUGUAGCACCUGGAAGCUCCUUUUAUCAUCUGCAGCUUCCCUGUGCUAGAAUCAAGUCUUGCUUCAAGGACCGUCAUGACGGCGACGUCGCACAAAGGAAUUGACAAAUUAUCCCAAUCAUGCCUAGUGUCAUAGAACCUUGUAACACAGAAUUUGCCACAGCCGAGAUAGGUGAGGUAAGAAUGGGCCAAAUGCCACUGCGAGCCCUUGUAUCCAUCAACAUCAUCCCAUACAUUCCGGUGCACCGGGGGCUCCAAGGCCCCAGAAUCAACGAUCAAGUCAGCCGAGCAAAGGUUGAUCGAUCGUUUAGAGAAUCCAAAACAUUGGCCAUACUCAGGUAUAUACUGCACUUGGCCCUCAAAAGGCAGCGUCCAGUCACCUACCUUGCGCCAUGUGGAAGUUGUAGUAUCAAAGAUGUGAGUGCCAUUGCCCAAUGUUGAUAUCCAUAUGUUCUCGUCGUCCCCAGCUGCAUAACAACGUAUGGUGCUUCCAAGCCUGAACGGCAUAUCAAAGAACGACGGCGAGGGCAGCAGAUCCCACAACCAAUCUUCCAGCUUGUCGUCGAAACGAAGGGCCUCAAAACAUGGCGUGCCGUAGUUGUCGGGGAACAUGUUGGUGAGGUAAAGCUUGCCUCGUACCGCUGCCCAGGCAGGCUUGAGUAACUUAGGAUGUCGCAGGUCAGGUCCCGCGGACAUAGCCGAGGUUGAGGUGUCAUACAAGAUGGUGUGCCGAUUCAUGUUGACGCUGACAAUUUUGCUGCCGAGGAGAAAAAACUCCGUAUGGUUGUGAUGGUGCUUGUUGGCAGACUCAAAGAAGGCAGCUGCCCUUGGUAGUGGAGUGACUUGCAUACUGGUGUUGCCAUCACCAAUACCGGCAAAGAGGGGUUUCAUAUCAAUGUUGCGGAGGCUGUAGCCACCAGGACCACACUCUUGAGUUCGUGGACAAUCAGAUGGACAAAUCUUCGAAUCAUGGAGCACAUCUUCGGAUCUUUUUUCUGAAAUUCUCCCCCAACCUGAUCUGCUUAACAAAAUUCAGUCCUGCCGAAUUCGUUCCCCAACCUGAUCUGCUUAGUUUUUUCCGGACAGAGAAAGAAGAGAAAUCAGUAUUGUGGCAGAUUAACAUUCUGAAAUCCACAACGAACCGAAUGAUAUAAUGGAUCGUCUCGAAACACAGCAACAUUAAGGCAUAAUCGUUAUCAACCUCAAAUUUGGAGGUGAGAGGAGGAGAUCUAUCUAGAAAAAAGGGCAAUAAACUCACUAGGCAUGGGCGGAGGACCCAGUAGGGCAAGGUAGGGCGCUCGCCCUACCUUGAUUUUUGCCUCAGUUACGAAUUGGGGAAGCUUAUGAAACGGGGAUCUAAAGGGCGGAAUCCGUUCGUGGUGUGAUGGGAGGAGAAACGGUCGGGAGCGAGAGAAUCGAAGGGGAGAUCAACCUGCGGUGGAGGCGCUCGAGCGAGGAGGAAGACGAAGGGGGCUCGGGCGCUCGGCAGCGGGAUGAGUGGCGGCGCUCGCGCGAGGAGGAAGAAGAUCCACGGAGCGAGGGGGCUGUGGGGCUCGGCAAGGAGAUGGGGUAUAGCUUUUUUUUCGAGAGGAGGAGAGGGGGUAUAGGGUUUAGGUGGCCAUCAGGUUGGCCUGGCCCGCCACCGGCCGGUCUAAGGUUAAACGGGCCUGGCCCAGUCGCGGCCCGGUGAAACCCGACUCCUCCAGGCCUAGGCACGGUACCAUAUAGCUGGGCCAACUAUCCAAGGAGUAAAUGAGAAUAACACGAUUACUAAUAAUGUUUAAAAAUACAUGGAUGAAAAAUGACAAACUCGUGUUAGAUGUGGUAACCCUUGCAUCAAGUUAAGACAACUUAUUAAAUCGUUGUUAGAUGUACAUUUGUUUGGUCCUUUAGAAUUUGUAUUUGCGUCUCUGUAUAAAAUAAAUAUGCAAAAUUUCAACUAAUUUAACUCUGAAUCAUUAGAGACAACGAUGACGAUGACUUGUGCAUUUUUUACGAGGUCUAAGAAAGACGUUGUAGGAGGCAGUGAUGACGGGUCAAUUGUCGCCUACAUCGGUGGCCAAGCUUCGGUGGGGAAGAAGAAAACCCACCCUUCGCCACAUCAGCAGACCCGUCAGCCCUUAAAUGUGGGCCGGACUUGUCAAUUUGGCUGUUAAGAGGGGCAAACGAUCAGAUUUGGAAGGACGGGGGUAAUUUUUUUUAGGAAAGGACGGGGUAAUUAGGGCAGGCGGCUGUGGUUUUCAGAUAAAAUUCUCAAAAGUUAUGGUUAAGUGAUAAAAAAGACGUAAUGGAGUUUCUCGUAAAGAUAAGACGGAUUACCUUCGUUGGCAGCGAUUCACACUUUCGCAGCCGCCGCUUUGUCGGUCCGCCAAACAGCCUAGCCCUAGAACAACCCCCACCCCCCCGCCGACGCCUCCCUCCCUGCUCAACAUCCCUCCAUCAGACAAAGAUCUGCGUUCUCCGACCAUCAAUCCUCCUGCGUUCUUUCGGGCCUCGGCGGAUCUACGCCCUCUUUGUCGGCGGCCACCUUACCUGGCAGUUCUCCCUAGCCCUGGUGAGAUUAUUGUCCUUUUUUUUUCUAGAUAGAUCUCCUCCUCACCGCCAAAUUUAAGGUUGAUAACGAUUAUGCCUUGAUGUUGCUGUGUUUUGAGACGAUCCUUCGUCUCAUUCGGUUUGUUGUGGAUUUCAGAAUGUUAAUCUGCCAAAAUACUGAUUUCUCUUCUUUCUCUGUCUGGAAAAAAACUAAGCAGAUCAGGUAGGGCACGAAUUCGGCAGGACUGAAUUUUGUUAAGCAGAACAGUUUGGCAGAUAAUUCAGAAAAAAGAUCCGAAGAUGUGCUCCAUGAUUCGAAGAUUUGUCCAUCUGAUUGUCCACGAACUCAAGAGUGGUCCUGGUGGCUACAGCCUCCGCAACAUUGAUAUGAAACCCCUCUUUGCGGGUAUUGGUGAUGGCAACACCAGUAUGCAAGUAACUCCACUGCCACGGGCAGCUGCCCUCUUUGAGUCUGCCAGCAAGAACCACACGGAGUUUUUUCUCCUGGGCAGCAAAAUUGUCAGUGUCAACGAGAACCGGCACACGAUCCUGUUCGACACCUUGACCUCUGGCGCAUUAGCGGGGCCACACCUGCGGCAUGGUAAGUUACUCCAACCUGCCUGGGCAGCUAUUGGAGGCAAGCUUUACCUUACUAGCAUGUUCCCAGAGAACCACGGCACGCCGUGUUUUGAGGCCCUGCGUUACGACAACGAGCUUGAAGAUUGGUUGUGGGAUCUGCUCCCCUCGCCGUCAUUGUUUGAUAUGCCAUUUGGGGAUGGAAGCAUCAUACAUUGUUUCGCAUCUGGGCAUGACAAGAACAUUUGGAUAUCAACAUUGGGCAAUGGCACUCACAUCUUUGAUACUACUACAACUACCACAUGGCACAAGGUAGGUGGCUGGGCAUUGCCGUUCGAGGGUCGAGUGCAGUAUGUACCCGAGUACCGCCAAUGUUUUGGAUUCUCAGAAAGAUCAAGCAAGCUGUGCUCCGCAGACCUGAUCUUUGGCUCUAGGAUCUUAGAGCCCCCGGCAUACCGCAAUGUAUGGGAUGAUGUUGAUGGAUACAUGGGUACGCAGUGGCAUUUGGCUCGCUCUUACCUCACCUAUCUUGGCUGCGGCAAGUUCUGCAUUACGAGGUUCUAUGACACUAGGAAUGAUUGGGAGGAUGAUUACAUUCCUGUAUGCAACGUCGCCGUCAUGACAGCUGUGGAAGUGAGAUGUGAUUCUAACACCGGGCACCUCGAGAUGAUCAAAGGGGCUUCCAGGUGCUACAAGUUCAGCCCCGACACACUGUACGGCUGGGUCCUGUGAGCACUCUUCCUUUAAUUUACAAGAUGGAUAAUUGGUAGUAGUACAGGGGUGAAGCCAGAAAAAAUAGGCAAUGGUUCACCAGUGUUAAAUAAUCGGUUCAAACCAAAUAAUGAUAAGCUUAGCAGCAAUUUAUUACAGUGCUAGAUUAGUAAAAUUUUGUUGGGUUCAGCUGAACCCAACUCUAGCAUGCUAGCUCCGCCCCUGGUAGCAUAUAUCAUGUUCAGUGUAAGACUACAUAUGCGUAUUUGUGUUGAGUUGCAUAAUAUAUCGGGGAAAAACACUUUGGACUUCUGAAAAGCUAUGGAAAAUAAUUUUGGUAGUUCAUGCUACAACAUGUAAACAUUUCAACCUAAGGUCCCGCUUAGUGUUUCGUAAGAUUAUACCCAUGUAAACAAUCACCCUUGUAUUUUUGCCGGUAACGAAUGAAACCGGGGACUCAUGGGUGGAUUAUUUCCAGCUGUUUGGGUACCGAGGUAUCAUAUAUUCGUGUACAGAAAACAUGCCAUGGGCAGCGUAGCACCAGCAGGCGUGGUUGACAGCUAGGGAGGUAAGGAUUUACUGGAGGAGGGCCACAGAUUGGAGCCGGUGGACACCGACGGCAAUUUGGAGCCUGGGGGGCGAUGGCGGCGGCUUGGAUCUCGUGUCGCAACGAUUGGAGCUUGGAGACGGAGGCUCGGGGUGAUGCCACCGCCUCGCGCUGUCGAAUGUCGUUCCGAUGGCGACGCGCGGUUGCUCUUUCAUUCCUCGCCUUGCUCGAUUCUUUUUCCGGACUUUCCAAGGCCUGUAACCUUUUUUCCAGGCGUCCUAAACCGGAUGUAAAAGAAACAAAAACGCCCAGCCAAGCACGUUUUUGGUUGGAGCGGAAUUUUUUUCAGGCUCCGUAUUUUACCUGGUAUGUGUUGAGAAUAGAGAGUAAACGAGAUUGAGACAAAGCAAAUGAUUCAAGCGUGUGUUCUUUAUUGAUGAUUGAGGUAUAUAUAGAAUUACAAGGGUGUCACUAAAAGGUGUCUAUUGGAAGGGAUGUCACCAAAGGAUGGCAGUUACAUAAUAGAGAGAGAGGGAAGGGAUGUGUCCCUUAAGUAUGGAUUACUACAUAUUUAACAUGUGUUAUAUAUAAUUCUAACACUCCGCCUAAUCUUGCUUGUCCUUGCGAUCAUCUUGAAUAAAGAUUCCUCCAAAAAUCCUAUGGAAAAAAUAUGAGGAGAAUGGUGUAUGAUAUGUUGCUAAAACCCCUUUAAAACCCAGCGGGAAAAAUAAGGAGAAAAUGUUACAACAUAUAAUGGUUAUUGGUUCAAUGAUAACUCAUAUGAGAAAAACCUUAAAUAAGGAAAAACCUCAUGAGUUUAGAGAACAAUAUUUAUGACGUGUAUAUUUCCUUCAAAAAACCCGGUGGGAAAAAUUAAGAAAUAUGACAUCAAUAUGUCUUGUAUACUUCCUUAAAAAACCUCAAUGGGGAAAAUAGGAGUUAUGACUUAUGUCUUCUGUUGAUAUUACCUCAUUAAAAAUCUUGAUGAGAACUGUAAAGUAAACUCAUAAAGGGAAAAAGAGUGUAACAUAAUGUUUGAAUAGGUUAUAACUCAGGAAGAUACUCCCCUGAGGUUUGUGAGGAUAAAACAAUCUGGGGGCAAUAUGAAUAGUGAUAUUGCUCUUUAUAUAACCUGUUGCAUCCAUGCAACACAAGCAGCAUUAUCUUUGUAGAUAACGGGUAGUGAUUCAAUGGAACCAAUACCACAUAAUUUGUAUAUGGUUUAUCAUUUUGUGAAGGCAUGUACACAUAUGUGUGAUGUCCCGUAAUAAUUACACAAUGAUUGGUGGGUUCGGCCACUAGAGUGAAGUAUGGACAACUUUCUUGGAUGGCUAUCCUACCAUGUAGGAACACGAAGCCUAUUUUGAUCUAGCUUUGUGAGAUCUAAUAAGUAGCCAGAGUCAGUUUAUCUGAUGAUAUUAGAGUUUUGAUAUCUUUGGUCCAUCUUCUCAUGGUUUAAAUGGGUCUUUCUCUACGUCUAGAGAUCGAAUGACCAUGAGAGAUUGGAUGAAUAAAAUUUGUCCAUGUUAAAAGUUUCCAAUAUUUUCUUGAUAUAGGUAGCUCGGUGUACCAUAAUACUUGAGAGAAGGAGUUUGAGUUGUAGACCCAAGUAAAUUUGAUUUAUCCAUAUCCUUCCUCUCAAAUUCCGUCUUUAGGUGAUUAUGUGUUUCAUCAACUUUCUUUAUGUAUAUACACUUGGACAAUCAUUAUUGUUUGAGUAAUCCUUUAGUGAAAAAAACUCAUUUAGUCAGCCGUACCAAUUUGCCGGACUAUGUUGAUAAGCCAUAUAGUGACUUAUUAAGGUUUUACACUAUUCAUGUUGUGUAUUUCGUGUGUAUUCGGAAAUUGGGAUUCCUUGAGGAACCUAUAUGUCCAAAUCAAGUGACUCAUAAAGAUAUUUUGUCACUACGUCUAUCAACUGCAUAAAUAGACGAUUUAGAACUGCCAUUGAAAUAUGUUAUCGGAAAAUGAUUCCACGCAUAUAUGGAGAAUUGGUUUCGGGUAUCUGCGUGAACCCUUGUGCUACAAGCCUCGCUUUGAGUCUUAUCACCUCGUUAUUUUCAUUCCAGUUUCGGAAGAAAUUUGGUAUUUGUAAAUAGACAGUAUACUAGCCAUAAAUAACUCCCUUGACAGGGACUUGAGGUAUUUGUAAGUGACAAAAAUACAGUUAUUACUCACAUAGAUCCCGAAUCUAUGAGGGCCCAUCGAUGUACGCUAGGGUGGUGAUAUCGGUAUUUAACCGAAUAAUCGCAGAUGGGAAAUCUUUGGUAGAUGUCCACGUAUAAAUAGGAUAGGAGAAUUAUUACGAUAUGCAGUUGUUCACUUAUGAAUUAAGUCAGCAGCGUGUAAAACUGCGUGACCCAACAUAAGGUUGGUAAGUUGCAAUUCAUUAGUAAAAAUCAUGUGUAAUGAGCUAUAUCCUUUGAUCAGAUAUUCAAAAUCAAACCAUUUUGAGUUUGGACAUGCGGGACAUAGUGUUGAGCUUCAACCCCCCAAAACCAUGCAAUAAUCAUUGAAAGCAUGUGAGGAAAAUUCUGCAACAAUGUCAAUUUGAAUUGAUUUAAUUCGAUAUUUAGCAUUAUGAGCUUGUAGUUUACUACAUUGGCUCAUUAUUUAGCACAUACAUGGUUUCGUGUGGACAGAAGACUCACGUGAGACAUCGUGUAGAUGAACUUAUUGAACCAUGAAAUACAGGAAAAGUCCAGACCAUGAUUGUAUGCAACCACAAUUAUCACUUUGAAUGUGUUCAAGGAAUUUGAGUGGUUUUGCUAGUAUUUUGAGAUAGGAAGGUCCCAAAGUUAGCUUUUAUGUAGCACAAAAUAGUGCAUAUGGAAUAUGAAUAUGAAUAUGAAUAUUGAGGAAAUUUAGCAGUAUUUAAACCAUGACCAAUGGAAUUGCUAGUAAUUUUCCACGUCAUCCCUAAUCCAGGAUGACAAUGGCGACUAUGCCACAUUUGGAAUGUAGUGACAUUCCGAAAAAUUACCUUAUACGCAACAUUUGCUACGGGUGUGGUGACUCCCGUAGAAAUCUAUAUAUGGAAAUGUAGAAUUUUCGGUAUGAAAAUAAUCUUAUUUGGAUAUAUAGAAUACAUACAAAUUUAUUUGUAUCAAUGUGCUGAUACACUAUAUUGUGAUACACAAUAUAGAAUGACAACAACAGACAUAUGUGUAUGUGUUAUUACAACAGAGAUAUAAUAUCUAUGGAGUGAUGGGACUAUUUAAAGUCACCAAACAUGUUACUCGAGUUAAACUCGAUUGUCAUAUUCUCCGUGCCCAUAGGAUUGACCGCCGCAAUGCCUCAUUGUUGUUUUGUUCUAGGAGAACAUCUUGCGGACAAUCAGUUUUCUUGAUGCUGUCAACGUGGAACGUGGAUAUUGAAGUGAUCUUCAAAUCUUUGACCUUGGGCAUGUCGGUUGUCCUAGGAUUGUUGAUACAGAUUGACCAGAUGUUGUGGGAUAUGUCAUGUGUUUUGGUGAUAUGCGUGUAGCAUACACACUUUGGACAAAGGCUUGUUUUAACAUAGACUUUGCGAUGUCUUUUCCACGAUCUGAAGCAUGUGGAUAUUUCUAUCCAGUAAGUAUUCAGACUUGAGAUCUGGAGGAGUAUGGUACAAAGCACCAUAUUUUUGUAUUUUUGUUAGUUGGGCAUCACCUCUUGAAGAGGUUGGAAUAUACCCACAAUCUCAUGGGAUGCAAUGUAGACCUUUUAUGUCCAUUAUACAUGUAGGAUAGUUGUGACCGUUGAGCGCAAGCUCAUCGAAUUGUAUUUUUUCGGUCAUCUUGACCUAUAUGUAUUGAAACCAGAGAUUUGAUUAAUUUACUGUGAGUAAAUUAGAUAUCAUCAUGGUUACGUUGUAAUAACAUUUGCAAAAAUUGAAAGUUCAAGUGAAGACUUGAAUAAUAUAAUGUGGACGUCAAAUUAUUAAUAUAACACUUUGAAGAUUAUCACUAGAAAGUGAUUCGGAUCUCUCAGCAAUACGCAAAAUUUCGCUGCUUUCAAUAAGGUGUAUGUUCCCACGAAACAUUCAACGCCAUUUAUCAUUUUACCGUUAUUAAAAGUCUAUAAGUACCUAGUGUUAUAUGUAAUUUAAAUAUUCAAAAGAGCACAUUGAAGGUAGUUAUUGUGUCAAUUUCUGACAUAACGUAAACCUCUCAGCAGUACGCGAAAAAUUCGCUGCUUUCAAUAAGGUGUAUGUUCACACGGAACAUUCAACACCAUUUAGCAUUUUACCGUUAUUGAAAGUCUGUAGUACCUUGUGAUCUCAAAUAUAAAUCUGAGGUAAUCAUCUUUCAAAUUGCAAAUAAUCAAAUAUUUAAUUAAGCGAAUUGAGCUUUUAAACAUCUUGGGCUUAAUAUAAGCGGAUAAUAUAUAGAUUUGCAAGAAAAAUGGAAUUCUUGAUUGCAAAUAUGUCAUUGUACCAACAUUCAUGUUGUAGGAAUUACUGAAAGCAAAUACAUUUGAACAUGAACAUAUUUACAUUUGUAGAUAUCUGGAACUUCAUAGAAAUUCAAUAGAACAGUACAGGAACGCAAAUAAAAUAAAUUCAGGGUCCUCAACAUGAUAGGUAUUGUACUGUUUGUUGGACCUGUCCGCAAUUGUCCGUGUAAACCGGGUUCAAUUUGCAAACUAAGUAAGCCUGUAGGCCUGCAGAAAAAUAUAGGGAUGGCGGCAGAGUUAUGAUGAAUCCAGAGGACUAAAUAAAAAACUGCCUAGAAAUCCCCAUCCAUCCCAUCGGUUGGGAUUCACCCCAAAACUGCCGCCGCCAAAUAGGCAAUGCGCUGCCACCGAAGAUGGAGGACAGGAAGGGGGCUAGGGGCUUGUUGCCGGAGGGAGGGGCUCGGCGUUGGCGCUUUGGAGCGAGGCAUGUAGCAGGACGGCCGUGGGACGCCGCGCUCGAGGUCCUCUCGGGGAGGAGGCAGUGGCAGAGUGCUGCCACUGGAGGUUGCGCCGUCGGCCUCUGCGAGUUGGUCGUUGCCGCGUGAAGCCAAGCUGCCAAGGCGCUGAGUAGCGGCACUGUACGUCGCCGCCGGUCGUUGUAAAGGGUGGUCGUGGAUCAACAUUGAACUGCCUGCGCUUGGUGAAGCGGGGUUGUGCCCAGGGCCACGUCGGGACAGAUGUCGCCUAGCGCUGUCUCCGGCGCGAGGGCUGGAGAGCCAGGUGCCCCGCUGAAGACGACGUGGCCAUCGGUGUGCUGUGUGCAUCGAUGACGACCGAAAAUGAGGAAGAUGCAGUGGGUGCAGAAAGAAGGGUAGCAUUCAUGGCCAGGGGUUACCACAGAUCGGGAGAAAAAGAGUGAGAAACAACUUGAUUUCUCAUCCUUCUGUGUCCUUGAUCUUCUCUAAUUUGAUUUAUCCAUCGAUUUUCAGAAUAUUUUUGUAGAUCAGUUUCUUCCUCUUCACUGUUGUUGAUCUUCUUCUCUUGGUUCUCCGUUCCGAUAGCUAGGCACGAAGGAAAAUGAUGAGAUGCAUUAGAAGCAAUGCAAUGAUUAAUUCGUUAGUUGUAGUGAAGAAAUUUAUCAAUAGGAUCGCAUGUAUGCAGGAAUCAGCAUCAUGAUUGUUCUUCCAAUCCAUCGAUGCAUGUUUAUUCUUCAGGUGUAGAUUUCUUCGCUGGAUUGAUUUAGAGAUCCGUUGCUUCUGAUCUAUCUUCUUUGUGAAAGCAUGUGUGCGUGUGCUCUACGCAUGAUCGAUCUUAGAUCGAUUUCUUCUUCGCCUGGCAUGUACAGAGGCCUUCCGUGAUACUACUUCUGCUUGUUAGGCCAAUUGAUCCGUACUAGUAAGUCCGCACACGCGUCCCUCUAAAAUUCAAAACAUUUCUCUCAAAUCUCAUUUCUCUUCAAAUAAAUUACUCAUAAGACAUUCAUAUCGAACGUGUUUUAUCUACUAAGAUGCGAAAACACCAACUUCAUCUCACCACUCCUCUUUAUUGUUUCUUUAUCUCUUCGGUCUACUCUUUCAGAAAAAAUACCCUCCUUCUGAAAUAACAUAGCAACUCUCAGAUGCACGUUCUCCUGAUUUUUAACACUCAUUUGACUACUGGUCCAUAGGGACUUACGUUAGAAUAUUAUAUGAACAUGGGACUUCUGUUCUAAAUGAGGGCAAAAGAUAAAAAGAAUAUCAUUAAUUCACAUGCUAACCUUAUUGUUAGCUAUGAUCCCAAAUUAUGUCUUAAAUUUUGGAGGGAGGUAAACCAGAUUUAUGUUGGCUUUUCCACACUUUACCUUUUUGUUUAGUUGAUUUAUCUUCUUGUUGAGUUGUAUAAGAUGCAAAAUAGCGCCAGCCGUAAACUGAUCUGAAUCGUAUUGAACAUGCGCUGCCUGCAUGUAUGCUUUUACUACAAGUGCUUUGACACAUCUCUGACUGGGGGUGGGGGGGAGGAUUUGAUCUUCAGGACGGCAACAUUUACCUGGAUGGUCAAUCUACUCGUCUGCUGAAAUCUAUUGACCUGGAUGCUUGUUGUGAACUGUAUCAGCAUAGCAAGAUGGUACUCCACAUGGUGCAUGACAGUCAUUUGGAAUGGCAUAACUGAGAGUACCUGUGUAGUAAAGUCCCCGUGUUAUAUAUUUUGCUCCCUUUCCUGUGCGCCCACACUAGCACUUCCACGUAAUAACUCCACUAGAGGCGAUCCUAUUACCGGAAUCGCAUCAGAUACACCUGUCACAAUUUUGACUGCCCAAUAACCAAUUUGAUCCCAAGGCAAAGAAUAACCCGUUACAUCAAACGAUGCAGUCAAAACAGCCAAAACCACACCUGUGACCCAAGUUAAUUCGCAGGGGUUUUUAAAUCCACCUGUGAGAUACACACGAAAUACAUGUAGGAUCAUCAUUAGAACCAUCAUACUUGCUGACCAUCGAUGAACUAAUCGGAUUAACCAACCAAAGUUGGCCUCGGUCAUUAUGUAUUGAACCGAGGAAAAAGCCUCUGUAACAGUUGGGCGAUAGUAAAAAGUCAUAGCAAAACCGGUAGCGACUUGUACUAGAAAGCAAGCAAGUGUAAUUCCCCCUAAACAAUAAAAUAUGUUGACACGAGGAGGAACAUAUUUAUUAGUUAUAUCAUCUAAUUAUCUGUAUGAUGAACUCAGUCCACAAGGUGCAUGACAAAUCUCUACCCUGUUAUGCCACUCCCAACCUCUCAGCCCUUAUCAAUCACAAGAAGCCUCGUCAAUUGAAUUCCACCUGAAAGACGGAAAUCUCAAGAGUUCCCAGAGGCUGAAGAAAUAUAUACCUGACUGCAGCAGUCUUGAUAAAUCAAAGCUGGCUGCAAGAGCUAACCGAAGAACAUACAUGAGAGCAAACUCAUAGUAGUAGUAGCACUCACGGGGCUUCUGGGAGCACUCAGGCGAGGUGAGCAGAGCUGGAGGGAAAGGGACUUAAUCAGUGAAUAUUGCAUGUUGCAUCUAAUGGCCAAACUUGGUAUGCAGGAUAGUCAGAUCUCCAUUUCUAAAUCCUUGAAAAUUUAAAUGACACGAGCUUUGCAGGACAGGAAACUGGGCAACGUAAAAUGAAAAUGAAAUUUAAAGGUAACUCCAUCGAUCCAAGCAAAUAGAGUAUGUGUUAGACAAAAAACUGAAAGAGUUGAAUGAAUCGGGAGGCAGGCGCCAUGGUCGCACGCUGAGAUCCCAACUGCCGAUGACUAUGGCUGUGGCGGCUGGCGCCAUCGACGGGAGCUCCUUCGGUGGACUACCUUCCCCGUCGUCUCCAUGCCCUGAAGGAAGAUCGCAGCGACCGUGGCUGGCCGUUUCCAUGCCCAGGAAGAUCGCAGCGACCUUGGUGGGCGGUGGUUCCAGUGGGCGGCAUGCAGAGGGACGCCCGGGAAGAUUUCAAUCGGCGGUGUGACGAUUCCCAACCUCGAAGUCAGGCUGAGGGCUGGGAGCAUGUAUUCCCAAGGCGGCUUUGCGGCGCAGCUUUUUCGCGGCCGGAUCACGGCGUGGCGGCUGCUGACGGCUAGACCGCUGCGCGGUGGCAGAGGACGGUUAUCUUGCGGCGCGGGCGGCGGCGAUGGAGGCGGAUGCGGGGGGAGGAGUGCGGAUGCUGGCAGGAAGCCAGGAAACCAGAAGGCGGCGGCGAGGGCCGAGGGAGAAGUUUUUUUUAGCAGAGGGAGACGGGUUUGGGGCAACAGGUACUGGACGUGUAGGAUGGGCGUGAUUAGCGGGCGGAGAACGAAACGACGUGGAGCGUCAGAUCAAUAGGUUUGGACGGUGUAGAUUUGGUUUUCUUGCAAGUUUGUGCUUUUAUAAGUAGUAGAGAUGGAGAGCAACGUGCCUGAUAAUGUGUUGAGAAUAGAGAGUAAACAAGAUUGAGACAAAGCAAAUGAUUCAAGCGUGUGUUCUUUAUUGAUGAUUGAGGUAUAUAUAGAGUUACAAGGGGUGUCACCAAAAAAUAUAUAUUGGAAGGGAUGCCACCAAAAAAUAGCAGUUACAUAAUAUAUGUAGAGGGAGAAAGGAUGUAUCACUUAAGCAUGGAUUUUUACAUAUUUAACAUGUGUUGAAUAUAAUUCUAACAGUAUGGAUCCUGAAAACUGGAUUCCAAGCAGGACAUAAAGGCAUAAAAUAUGACAUACACAAGGAGAACAAGAGAUUGCAAUAUUUAUUGCGUAACUCUUGUACUUUAGUUGAGGUCCCAAUUUUUAAUGAAAUUUGAAGGUUCACAUUUUUAUAACAUGGAGUACAUGUACUGAUAUUUGCUUCUCGGAAGUGCCUCUGCUGCUAAUUUGAGCCUUACGUUCGCGACAUUUUUCCAUACUUUGGUGAUUGGUUUUUCAGAUUGAGAAACAGGUAAUAACAAGCAAUACAUAAACUUGAAACACGCGAGCAAUUUCAUACAAGAACUUGAAAAAUGGGGUCAAGUGGUCCAAAACUUGCAUUGCAGAUUCACUUUAAAUCAGAUGCGCUCCGGAGCUGCCAGCGUGGCGACAUAGCGUGCUGAGGGCUAUUUUUUACAUAAACCCUUCGUUUCCCCUAUGGUCUAGCAAAAAAUGGCGUAGCAUGCCGAGGGCUAUUUUUUUACAAAAACCCUUCAUUUCCCCUAUGGUCUUGCAAAAAAAACACCUUCUUCUUCUUCUCUCUCGAAAUCCAUGUGGUUUAACCCUAAAUUGACGAAUACCAGAAGCGAGGAGGGAGAGGGCGGCCUCUGAGAGAGGCCAUAGCAACCUAUACCUAACGAAGAGGAGGGGACAUGAAACCAAAAGGGAAAGACGGCUAUACACUAGCAGUAGCAGAGCAAGAGUAGACCAUGCAUGUGCCAUGAUCGAGGGCGCCACGUACGGACGGAUCACGGAACGGCUAGCUGAUGACGAAGCACGGGAGCACGGCCAGGGGGACGGGGUUGAACAACGGCAGCUGAUCCGCGUCGCCCUCUCCCCGUCUUCCCCGCCGGCGCCACGGGCACCAUGGAGUCUUAGGCCACGUUGUCGUCAUCGCCGCCCGAUCGACGCGUCACCUCGGACGACGCGGCACACGAGCAUGGCGCGGCGCACCUGUAGGAAGGCGAACUCGCGCUCCACUUCCUCGGGCAGCGACGCAUGCGCGGCGGCCCUUCAGUAUUGGAGUAGAUAAUGACCUGCAUUACCAUAGGCUGAUGCUGAACUAAAAAAAUGUCAAAACGAAAACCUAAUAAGCUACUCCUUCCUUUUAUCAAUAAAUGGUGUAUUAGGUUUAGUAAAGACAAGAUUUUGACUAAAAAUUAUUUUGUUAACAUGUGAUAUUUGUGACAUGAACUUCAUAUCGCUAAAUUCUUCUGAAAAAGUACUGACUGAUAAUUUGUUGGUCAAUUAUAAUCAUAUACUAAUGAAGUAAUUCUUGAUCAAAGACUUGUGUUAACAAAAUCUAACACGGCCAGGUGUUGAGAAAAGGAUGGAAUACAUGUAUCAUGUCUUUCUUUGUUUGCUCGCUUGUUUCUUUUGUUUUUGAUUUUUUUUUCUACAUCAAGGAAAUUUCAGCUCGAGAAGAAAACAUGACGCUUACAAAGUUCUUCAUGCAAUGAGAUAAUCGUAAUUCCAGUGCAUAAAGCCUGCAAGUUCAGAGCUAUCUCUUUCUUUGUAUAAUUCUAGGCAUUAUCCGAUACAUCUUCUUGACACAAUCACUCUACCAACUAAAUAGUACCGGUGUUCUAUAAAACGUAUACUUUUACUAAACUAACAUGAUGUUGCAAAUACUGUUCUGCUGGCUGUGUUUACUACUCCCUCCGUCUCAUAAGUGACUCAAAUUUAUCCAAAUAUGAAUGUAUCUUUGCCUAAAAACAUCUAGAUACAUGUAAUAGAAAGUCACUUAAUAUGGGACGGAGGGAGUAUAUGAAACAAAGAGUUAUAUAUGAACAAAAACUCCUUUGGAAGUCAGUGCACUUCUGUUAUGAUGUUACACAAAAAUUAGUCCCAGUUCAAUAGUCCACACCAACUUUUUUUCAAGCAUAAGCAUCCUGACAAACACCUUGCAUAUACUUUGUUCAGAAAUAGCAAUGCAUAUUUGAGAAUAUUCUGAAAUACUCUGGAUAAUUGGAGAGUGUUGGGAAUUAGUUAUGCAUAUUUGAGAAGAUUCUAGAAUACUUUGGAUAAUUGAAGGAGAAGAUAUUUACAAGUAGCCUUCUAGUGAAUAUGAGAAGAUUGGAAUAAUCUAAAAAACUUGAGAGGUUGCUUGAAGAGGGUUGUUAUUUACCAUGGAAAGGUCUUAGAGUAACUUUCAAGAAUAAAUGGGAAUUUUCUAGAACUAAGUACAUGUAGAGUAUUCUAGAGAAUUGUAGUAAGAUGUACCACGUGCUCUUGUAAAACUAUAAAUAGGGGUGAUCCCCCUCCCCAUGAGUUGUACCACAAGCACCACAACAAGUAUUGUACCACACUAAGAAAAGUGUGAGCUACCAAGAAAGAGUAGUAUGGUUGUGUACUAAUAAGGUAGCCACUAAAUUAAGGAGUGUUGCAUCAAUAUUAUGAGAGUAAAUAAAGUUUUGGAUUCCCUUCUGGUGAGUGUGGUAUCCCAAGUAGCGUAGGUGUGCAAAGGUCCUAAGAGUGGGUGUUCGGGUCCCCGCCCAUAAAAUCUCUACAUACUUGAAUUUCAGCAAGUCAACAUGAAAACUCAAAAGCCAAUGUAGAGGACAAGCAUACUUGACCAACAAAAGAUUGUAAGGCAAAUGAACCUAUUCUGGCAACAAAAUAAAGGUCGCAAUUCACACGAUAAGGUUGAAGCUGAAUUUAAGCUUUAAAGAGGAAAACACCUAUAUGAUCUGCUGCUUGAUUAGUCCACUGGUAGGCUAUCUCUGGCCAGGUAAAAAAGAGAAAAUACAACUCGACCAUGGAACAGGCUGGUUUCAGCUUCUCGUCAGAUACUACCUAAUUUAUGUACCUCAAAACUUCACUGUACGUAUUACAAGACCAGACAGACCUCAUUUUAGCAGCGCGGCAGCUGCUACUGGCGACUGCAUCUUUAUCCUUGUGACCUGCCGAUCUGCAGUACUCUGCGGAAGCAACGAAUCAAGUUGUGUCAGGUCAUGCCUGCCCACAAUGAACAAUCUAAACUGCAGCUCUGUUGGGAACUCUGGAAGGUCGGAGUCAAAAAUAUCCUCGAACAUUUCUUGAGUAUAUAGGACUUCUCUUGUCACUGGGUCGACACUGUCAUCCAUCUUAUGGUAACUCAAACCUCUGUAACACUGCACUAGAAUUUCAGACCAACUUGAGAAUCAGAAACGACCAUUGAUGAGUGAAGCCAACAACGUGUUUUUUGACAUGAUGGCAUACCAUGAAUACCUGUAUGAAAGGAACGAUAGAAGGGUUUAGUACUGAGAUUCGUCCUGUAGCCUAAGGGUGCGUUUGGUUCUGCUUUGCUUUUGGAGAAAGCUGCUUUGCUUUUUCUGCUGUGGAAAAGCUGCUUUGCUUUUUCUGCUAUGAAAAAGCAGGAAGCGUGUUUGGUUGGAACAACUGCUUUUGCUUUUGUAAUUACCUGAAGACUUUUUAUAUGUGAAUUGAUCGUAAAUUUAUGAUCUUUGCAUUGAUUGUGACGACGAAGAAAAAAAUAAUUUUGAUUCUAAUGAUUCUUAUGUUUACAACAAAAUGUAUGACAUUUGCCUCAUCCCAAACUGCCUUCUCACUCGUACUUCAGUAAAAAAAAAGUUUAGGACAGCAUUACUUCUCAUCAACAAUGGAGCCAUCGAACAAAAAUAGCCUGCUAUAUGUUUGCAUGUUCUGUACAAUAGCAAUUAACAUUGCUUUGAUUUGCUCUGUACAAUAUCGCAAUUAACAAGACAAUCCACCAAAAAUAUGAACAGGAGCUGCCUUUUGAGGGGCGGUGGCGGCGUCUGAGGUCGCGCCGGCGCCGUAGAUGCUGCAGGGGAGGCUGUGCGAGGAGGGGAGGAAGCUUCGGGGCGGCCUGGGACGGGCGGGCCGGGGUCGGUGGGCAGCAGGGGCAGGACGCCACCGGUAGGGAGCAGGGGCGGGCCGCCGCCGGGGCUGGACGGGGACGGGCGGAGCGGGGUGGGGCUGGACGGGGGCAGGCUGCCAGGGAACGAAAUCGGGGCGGGGCUGGCCGGAGUUGAAGCGCCGCAGGUAGGGCCACGCCGCCGGUGGGCUGGGUUCCUCCCGGUCAGACGAGCUCGAUGGGGAAGAUGGCGAAAGCUCUAUGUGUCCUGGUUUGGCUCCGAUGAACGAAACGUUUUCACUUAUGGGUGGCAAAGGUGGAUAAAUAACUCCAAGUUGGCAAACAAAAGCAACCAAAAAUAUCUCUGGACCUACUUUGAGAAUUGUACUACGAAAAGCAGAUUGUUUUUUUGCUUUUUGCUUUGGAAAAUAACCCUUUGGUUAGCUUUUUUUAGAUUUUUGGAAGCAGAAAAGCACCCUAACCAAACGCACCCUAAGAGCAUGCAAUGAAUCAUAUAGUCGCAUGAAAGAAGCCGUCUUGUUAACCUGGCGCAGUAAUCCAACAUGUGACUUCAUGUAAGUUACAGAAGUCAAAGGUUGAGUCCUCAUUAUCAUAAGGAGAUGCUUCAUGCUAUAUGGCAACUCUCUGCCCUCAAACAAGGUAUCACUGAUAAUGCCCACCAGCUUCACCCAAUUUGCAGUCCUUCUGUCAUCAUUUGCAAGAAUAAGUCUUAUGUCUGCUGAGAAUUUUGCGAUGCCAUCACAAAUCACGACCUUGCUGUCAUCAAGUUCUUCGAUGCACAAACCCUGGCUGUACAGACAAUAAAAGUCAAUGAAUGGUGUGACAAAGAAUAUAAGAUCAGAAGUGAAUAUGGAAAACCAUCACGACUCGCCACAUUAAUAUAAUCCAGACAAUGGAUACAUAGUUCUAACCUGUGGAACUCAUCUAGUGAAUCCAUUAGUGAGCUUAUGUGCCCCUUAGCAAUGUCUUUCACGAACCAUUCGCUUUUCCCACUCGGAUCACCAUAGAUUGCUCUAAAUUCCAUCAUAGUGUUUUGGCUUACAUAUUGCAGCAAGGGUGUGGAAUUUAUUCGAAGUACGCAACCUCUGUAAAGGAAAGUACCCAUUGCAAUAUGCCUGUGCCAAUCAAAAUCCUGCAGAAAACCACUACGGAAUUAGGUGACUGCUUAUCAUACAGAAAUGGAGAGAAUAGUUCAAAAAUUGAAACAUAAGGAAUAAGCCACCUACCGUGGGCAAGUAAAUCACUUCCAGAUUUGAAUCAUCAUCAUUUGCAGCAAUUUCAGCCUCACUCAUCACAGCUACUGCCCCUGCCUGUGGAACAGGUUGUACACCAUCUGUGUCUGCACAGUACCACCCUGAAAAUGCGAUUGAACCAAAUAGAGCAUCAGUUUGUUGAUUCAAGAUAAGUACAGCAAAAACUUGCGGCAUAUCUUGAUACUGCAGUCAGAAGAUAAGGAUGCAUAAACAACAAGCCAGGCCCACAAGAAUACAGCAAUUAGUCUAGCUAAAAAGAACAAGUAGAUUGUUCAACUGAUCUUCUUAAAACAGAACAAUGCUUAAUUUCAGUUCCAUUAUCCAAUAACUAUAAUCAUGUAUUUGGAGAAACUAUUAGCAUCAAUGAGACACAUAAACUGAGCAUGUCACUUGUAAAUGCUAUCAGGUGCCAGCAACACGUAACUCAGUAGGCCUUAAAACAACACAAAAACAAUUCAUAUUUGUUCACCAAUACAACAGACCUACACAAGCCAGAGACUCACUCUUCUGAGCAUACUCGCUACAAAAUUCCUACAGUGUAUCAAGUCUGCUUCAAGGUUGUGUCGAAACUACACACUCAAAUAAGCAUAACUGGAUAGGCCCAAAAGUUCAAAAUCACAACAACGUUAAUAGUCCAGUUUAAGCGGAAACUUACUGAUUAGAAACUUCCCCUUCAUUGGAGUAGGCCAUCUGCUCAUCCUGGGCAAGCAAAGCGGAUAGGUCGUCUUUGACAACUAAAAAGACCACAAUUGAGUAGUCUCAGUUUUGCAGAACUUAAAUUUCAGGGUAAAAUGAUGACUUGUCAUAAUUUUAAAUGCAGAAGUGAAUGAAUCACUUACAUGAGGUGACAUGAUUGGCCCUCUCAAUGGAACAUUAGAGAGCUUACUGUGGUGGGGGGAAUCAUUCACCUGAAACCCAUUAUCCCUGAUAACCUGUUCUGACUUUGCACAAGUGUACUGGUCCUUGAUGACCAUAUCAUGACUGUACAGAUAAUCAAAAGCUGAGUAGUGCGCCACAGAAUGUAAAGUCAAAAGUGAACUUGGAAUGGUACUCAAAACAACAAUGUUCAUUUUACAGUAAUUGGUAACUGGGUUCAAAACUUCAAAUCCUUCAGUUUCUUAUAACCUAGUAUUGUUCAUGAAAAAAAAUUCUGAUAAAAAUGUUGAAAACUCAGUAGUAGUAAUGUAAAAUUUUACCACUGCAUGACAGGGUGGACACAGCAGCGCGAGUAGUUUCUUUUGAAGCACAUAAUCCCCCAUACAAUGAAGGAAUAACAUCUUCCAUAACUGCAACAAAAGAAACAGGGAAAAUAAUCAAUUCCAAUGAAAAGCCACCAUGUUUUUUGGGUCAAAAAGCCACCAUGUUCUGUGUGUCAAAAAAUUAUUGCACUUGGUUUUAGUUAGUCUAUUUAAACCAACAAGACAAAAUCCUUUCUCCAAUUACAGAAUGAUCUAGCGUCAUCAAACCUUUCUUUCCCACGUUCCCUUCACCACAUGGGCCAUGUCUCACGAAGGUCCCAACAAUUCCAAGAACAUUUUCCAGCCUAUGUGCCGCCCUCCUAACCUUUACACUCUCAUACCGAGCUUUCUUUUUUUGCUAUACCUAACACUACACCAAUGAAUUGGCAUGCAUGCUACCCCCCAAUUAAGUAGUUCUCCUAAAUUAUUCAUUAUCCAAGCACUUAAAAUCAAUGGUUUAAUCCUCAUCCCAAUCAACAUCAUAGAUUUCAAUGCUGGCACCGUACUGAUUCAGCAUACUCAUUAUUUCCAAAUAUUUCCAGAGCGCUCAAUCAUUCAACACAUAAAAAGCAGGGCUGGUUCCAAACAUAUACGUAUAAUAGAAGGAUACAUAUGAUGGAGACGCCGACUAGUAUGCUGAAUCCAGCUGCUACUGGCGAUCCAACGCCCGGGUAGCUGGAAACGGCGCAGAGAACUUUUUAAACUAGGGUUUGAACCGGAAUUAAAAGCGAUCGGAAAUAUAGAACUGCGUGUGUUACCUCAAUCGAUGAUGGCAUGAUAGAUCGAAGAACGAUCCGCACCCAAUCGAGGUCACCCAUCGCAGAAGGGGCGGCCUGCGGCAGCGCAAGCGGGCGGCGGCGCUGCUGGGUGGAUGAUUGCGCGGCGAACGGGGAAUGUGGGGAGGGAAUGGAGUUCGAAAGAAGAAAGGGCCCGAAAAGAAAUGGGGAUAGGAGGGUCGGUUACGGCCGUGGUUCCUUUAUGGAAGUAGUUUUUCGUGCCGAAUUUUCUUUUCUUAUUAUCGAUCGUAUAUCAUAUUAAGGGAGGCCUGGUCUUAGCCGGUGCUCUCCGACGACCCACAAAAGGAAAGCCAGUUUCGCAUUGCUCAAAACGAUUUGCUGCGUCCGCGCGGCCGCAGCUUAGCUCGUACCCAUUAGUAAUUUCAUCGUCCGUCGUAGGUUUCCAGACCCCAUGUGUUGCUCCCGCACCUUAAAAUUAUACGCAUUAGUAAUUUCUUCUUCCGCUGUAGGUCUCCAGCCCCGUGCGUUGCUCCCUUUACAAGCUGCUGCCAUUAUUACAACAUAAAAAUUCUCAAGGAUAUACAGACUUAUGUAAAUUUGUGGGAUGUGGUUAUGUUCCUCUCGUUUCUUACAUCCUUAUAUAAUCCAUAGUUACAUCCAACAAUGAUUUGAAAAUCAAAUCACCGUCUCACUAUAAUCCCAGUAAUUACAACUAAGUACCAAAUUUAAAUCUGACAAUGAUUAGAAAUCAAAUCACCGUCUCCCUAAAAUCCCAGGAAUUACAACUAAGUAUAGCUAAAAUGCCAGGAAUUACAACUAAAAUCCUACGAAUUACAACUAAUUAUAGCUAAGCACGUAGAUUUACACGAACCACUUCAGGUCCAACAAAAGUAGAAACUUAGAUCCAAAAUAAAAGUAACAACUCAAGUUUUAAAACCAUGUCGCAUAGCAACUCCAAUUAGAUCCCAUGCCAUCAGUACUUACUAUUGCAUAUCUCCUCUUGUUUGUCUUCAAAUAAUCAUUGCACAUCCAAAAAUAGAGGUUGAUUCUAAAAAAAAACCCUCUUACCCUGUUAUUAAAAUGGAAAAACAAAAUUGAACAUUAGAAAAUCUCUUGUUCCAAACAAAACCACGGCCGAUGAUAUCAAAGUUAAUGACAGCUAUAUAAGUAGAUGUAACUUUUAAUAAUUACAACUACAUGUAAAAAC
This 64875-nucleotide long non-coding RNA is filed under the name Brachypodium distachyon (stiff brome). RNAcentral's name for it is "long non-coding RNA (BDIS_LNC001488)". The stretch from base 32190 to 32324 matches the Rfam family "MIR1120/MIR1122 microRNA precursor family". The record is from RNAcentral. Lineage: Eukaryota; Viridiplantae; Streptophyta; Magnoliopsida; Poales; Poaceae.